ACAAGAUUAGAAUUCCUUUUAACGAAAUCUAAGAUAACAACUUCAUUUUAAUGAUUUGUAAUUAAUUUUCACAAAAUACGCCGCUAUCACAAUAAAAAUAAGGUGUUAACCCUUUACUAGAAUACGACUUUGUUGUUAAUUGCCUAAUGACUCGAUCUUGAAUCGGGGAACACAAAAUUACAUUUUUAGGUUCAUCCGUAAGGGUAAACCAAAUCCAUUACGCUUUAUGUCCAACAUCAUCAUUCAUUGCACUCCAUAUUUUACCCUUUAUCUGAUGUUUUUAUUUCGAGACGCAUCUAAAUAGUUAAUCGCUUUCUAGUUACUUAACAUAAUUAUAAAAAUUACACAUCAUCUUCAUCUGUGUGCUUAACUACAAAUUUCUAAAAACGAGAUUCCUUUAGAAUUUCUUACAAAGUUCUAAGACAACCUUGAAUAUCUUGAUUUAAGGGAUUUGGUUCCAAAACUCAACUUAUGGGAAGAAGAUUGAGAGUUGAGAGACUAUGAGGUGAGUGAAACAUGAGUGUACAGUGAGGGAAAGUAUUUUGCUAUUAACAUUUUCUUGCAGGUACUGCAUUAUAUCUCAACUAAGUGAAAACAAUGAUCCAACCAACCUGUAAGAAUGUAUGGAGUAAGUAAUCUAGCAAACUAUGUUUAUAUGGCUUAGUGUCACGGGGUUAGUAAUUUUGAAGUUACCCAUGCGGCACUUGCUCAAUCUAAGCAGUCAAGACUAAAUAAGCCUUUUGUGUGUAGAAAGAGUUAACUAAGAGCAAGAGAGAGUAGCGAGCUUGAAGAAUAAGAGAGCUUUAUCGAGAGCAUUGUAUGCUUUACAAGAUUGCUGGUGCCGCUAUGUGCAUGUACAAAUAAAGAGGGAUGGCCUAUUUAUAGUAUUUGGCCCCCUCAAUGGACGACUAGGAUCAUUUUGAUCUAAGGGACAAUAUUAUAUCUGUAGAUUAUUUUAGAAAUAUUUACACGAAAGGGAUAAGGCUAGAAACAUCUAGGCAGCAUGCUUCCCCGGUCUUCUAGUUUCUUCCUAGGUCCUUCUGGGCUGGUAGCUUGAACGUAGACACUUGCUGGAGCUUUCUAGCACUUGGUGGAGCUUGCUAAAGCUUUCCCGCAGCUUCCAGAUUUUUCUUGCGCAUUCUAGAGUUUGCCCGCUUGAGGGAGAUUUUUCCACCCGGGCUUCCGGACUUUUCCCGCAGUUAGGCAGCGUGCGCGCUUGAUGGCUUCCUAGUGCGUGCGUGCAUUUUCUGAUUCAUUGGGCGCUCGGCUGUGCAGCAGUUUGCGCGGGGCGUAACACCUCCCCCAUUUGAUCGCGCGACAUCCUCGGCGUGGUUUCUUCCUUGUACUGCCAGAUGGCAUCAGCGAAUUGCCAAAGAAAAUCUUCUAGUUCCCACAUGACUUCAUUUUCCGAAUGGUCUUUCCACCUCACCAAGUAUUCAGUGUAGCUACGCACACCACGCUUGCAAAUCACUCUAUCCGCAAGGAUGUAUUCUACUUGUCGAAGUCAGUGACAACCAUAGUAGGGACGUGCUUGGACUCACACUUGCUUGGAUCUUCCUAGUCUUCAUGAUAAGGCUUCAGGAGACUUACAUGGAAGACAAAGUGAAUUUUUAAGUCUUGGAAGGAAUUGGAUCUGAUAGGCUACUUUGCCGACCCGCUUGACGAUGGGAAAAGGGUCUUCAUAUCUCUGCACUAACCAUUUGUGCACUUUGCGCGAAGACUUGAACGGUUGGGUAGGAGCUUGACAAUCACCAUGUCGCCCUCAACAUAUUCCAUUGGUCGCCUCUUGGUGUCAACUCAUUUCUUCAUCCAUCAAGUGGCCUUGUCAAGGCAAGCUCUUGUGAUGCUUGCCUCUUCGUGCCAUUCCCGUAUGAGCUUGUGGGCCAAUAGGCUGCUACCUUCAUAGAUAAGGCUAUGACAUUGGGUGUCACGAGCUAUUGGCCCAUGACGAUCUCGAUGGGGUUCUUUCUAGUCGACUCUCUCCACUGGAGAUUAUAUGAGAAUUGGGCCACAUCAAAUAACUUCACCCAAUCUUGUUGAUGGGUACUGACAUAGUGUCUCAAGUAGAGCUCUAACAACGCGUUCACCCGCUCGGUCUGGCCAUCACUAUGCAGAUGGAAGCUGGUCGAGAAAUUCAGUUAUGUCCCCAACAACGUGAACAAUUCUCGCCAGAAUUUUUUCGUGAAGCGCGGUUCUCUGUCAUUAAUGAUGCUCCACAGGAUUUUCCAUAACUUCACAAUGUUCUUAAGGAACAGUUGUGCGGCUUCGUCCCCCUUACAAUAGGCUGGGUUUGGAAUGAAGGUGGCAUACUUACUAAAUCGGUUGACCAUGACCAUGAUGUUUCUGUACCCGUCAGACUUUGAUAAAGCCACUAUAAAAUCCAUAGAGAUACUCUCCCAUAGUAUCUCGGCGAGGGGUAGAGGCUUUAGCAGUUCGGUAGGAUGCUAAUACUCGACCUUAUCCUGCUGGCAGACAAGGCAGGUCCGCACAUAAGCUUCCACAUCAUCCUGCAUGUAGGGCCAAUAAUAGUGAUUUUGUAUAAGCACCAAGGGUUUGUGCUAUUCCUGGGUGGCCAGGCCACUUUGUAUUGUGGCUCUCUUUAGCGAUCUCCUUUUGCAUUUUCUUGGACAAGGUUGUCCAUGGUGUCGAUGAGUUCGUCCACAGUGGCUUGGAUGGUCCCAUAUCGCGUUUAAGCAGUGAAACAUUGGGGUCAAGGGAUUCACCUAUAAAAGUAGCAAGGACAGAGGCUUUUGACUUAACUCGCUUGGGGUAAGCAUGCGGCUCUCCACAAGCUUGCUCUUGGAGCACUUUGACUCAGACAAUUUUGCCUUCUUUUAAUGUCAUGCUUGUUAGCUAGAGUUGGCGGAGCCAAGGAUAGACAAAAACCUUUACUCUGAUACCACCUGUCACGAGGUUAGUAAUUUUAAGGUUACCCGUGUGGCGCUUACCCAAUCUAAACGGCCAAGACUAAAUAAGUAAGCCUUUUGUGUGUAGGAAGAGUUAGCUAAGAGCAUAAGAGAGUAGCGGGCUUGAAGAAUAAGAGAGCUUUAUUGAGAGGUUUGUAUGCUUUACAAGAUUGCUUGUGUUGUUGUGUGUAUGUACAAAUGAAGAGGGUGGUUUGUUUAUAAUAUUUGGGCCCCUCAAUGGAUGGAUAGGAUCAUUUUGAUCCAAAGGACAAUAUUACAUCUCUAAACUAUGUUAGAAGCAUCUAGGCAACAUGCUUUCACAGCCUUCUGGAUCCUUCCAGGCUAACAGCUUGUAGGUAGGCACUUGUUACAGCUUUCUAGCGCUUGGCGGAGCUUGUUAUAGCUUUCCUGCAACUUCUAGAAAUUUUCUGCGCAUUCCAAAGUUUUCCCCCAGGCUUCCAAACUUCUCCUGUGGCUAGGCAGCAUGCGCACCCACGCUUGACAGCCUGCUUUUGCACACGCGUGUUUCCUGACUCAUUGGGCGCUCAACUAUGCAGCAGUUUGCGUACAGCAUAACAUCAAUUUGGCUAUUGAGAAUCUAGAGACAAGAAUGGAUGGAAAAAGGAAGAACAAUAGACCACCUCAAGCUAGAAUUAAAUAGCGUGAUAGAAAAAGUGAGAGAAUUAAAUUUAUCUCCCAAAUGAGAAAAUGGUAAAAAUGGAGGGAGAAACUUUCCCCCAAGUGAGUGAGAAAAAUUUUCCCCAAGUGAAUGAUAGAAAUUGUCCCCCAAGUGAGGGAGAGAAAAUUCCCCAAAUGAGUAAGAGAAAUUUUCCCUUCGCAUGAGUAAGAAAAAUUUUCCCCAAAUGAGUGAGAGAAAUUGUCCCUCAAGUGAGGAAGAGAAAAUCCAACAAGUGAGUGAGAGAAAUUUUCUCCCAAGUGAGUGAGGAAAUUUCCCCAAGUGAGUGAGAAAACUUUUCCCCAAGUGAGUGAGAGAAAAAUCCCUUAAGUGAAAAAAGUCCCCCACAUGGGAGAAUAAUUCCUCAAGUGAGAAAAAUAUCCCAAGAAGGAGAAAAAUCUCCCAAGAGGGAGAGAAAAAAAUGAGAAGUGGAAGAGGAGAGAAAAUUCCCUCGAGAGAGGGAAAUUUCCAUCAGCCAAGAAAGUUUCCCAAGUUGGAAUAUCCCAUAAAUCAUGAGAUUAUAAAAUAAUUAAGUUUCCUUUUAUGUAACUAUAACAACACUAUAAAUAGUCAUAUAAUCACUUGUAAUAUUCAAUAAGAAAUACAAAUUUCUCCACAAGGAAGUUGGUGACAACUGUAUUUACCUGGGAAUAUUACCAUUACUACCAACCAAUGAUUGACUGCAGAAACUGUGUAAAUAUAUGACGAAAUCACUUGUAAUAUUCAAUAAGAGAUACAAAUUUAUCCACAACAAGAAAGUUGGUGACAGCUGUAUUUUUACGUGGGAAUAUUACUGUUACUACAGACCAAUGAUCAGCUGCAGAAACUGUUACAUGUAUGACGAAAUUUGAUUUUAAGUAGUAAAAAGUUAUCAAAGAAAUUUCUAAUUUUCUCCUAUCAUUCUCUCUACUUUUCUACCCCUCUUUCACCCUUCUAUUUUCUCUUCUUUCCUCCCAAGGUUCUUCCUCUAUCAUUGAUCUUUCGCGUCAGCUCCAUUUCUUCUAACCUAAGGAUACCUCAUGGGCCAGUAUCCUGACAGAGUUCCUUUCAUUGGAAAGUUUGUAAGUGAAACAUAGAACUACAAUUACUUACAACCUACUAUAUAGCUUAUAAUAUUCGAAGAAUCUUUACAUUAAUUCCUCCAAAUCUCUCAACAAAUCUGCUGGAAUUAAUUACCAAAUCUGCAGGACAAUAAUUUGCCCAAACUUCGCAGCAGAAGUUUUCAAAGUACUCAAAAUAAAAUUGCUAACCACCAAAUAUAUUAGGAGAAAUCCAACCCCGAUAAUUCUAGGACAAAGCAAUUACAAUAAGCAAAAGAUUGACAUAACAAAAUUGCUACUGACUAUAUGCAUAAUCACUUAUUAACCAAGCUCCUCACUUCUUGUGCCACGAAUAAACUGUUGAUAGACCUGUUGACGGGGGAUGAGAUGGAGAGGAUCAUUUCGACUCCCAGAAUCUCACUCAAUGUAUGAAUUAGAAGACUUAACCACAUAAUUUGUACUCUCUACUUAAAAUUACACCCACCUAUAUGACAUACAAAAUCAAGAUAAUAGGAAAAUAAAAAGAAUAAGGAAGGACACUACGACUUAUCCGAUAAGUCAAAAUCUUGAUUUCCUAACUCAACAAAACUUCUGAAAUCUCCCUAACUUGAAGAACUUGAAGAACACUCAAGAAAAUUAAUUAAACUAAUUUCAAGAGAGCAAAAGUUUUGAGAUUUUUUAAUCUUGGAAGUUGUGUUUAUAACUUAAGGACUUGAGACUUUUUUAUAGGUUUUAUUCUACAAAUCGACUCGAAGAAUUAUAAGAAAUUUUCAUUUAAAAUUUAGACAUAAUUUGACUAAAAUACUUAAACUAAAUUAAUAAAAUAAUGAAAUCCUUAUCUAGAUAGGAUAAUGAAAGUAAUUAAAUAAUUAAAAUUAUAAAACUCCUCCUCAUAGCCAAAUUUGAACUCUAUCUCGGGUUUGGACUUCAAUUGCAUUCAGCUUCAUCUUUCUUCAUUCUUUGUUGAUUCUUGAGGAUCUUUGAGUAGGAUUCUUGCUGGAUUUUUGCAAGAUUUUAAUUAUAUAGGUUUUAUUCUACAAAUCGACUCGAAAUAUUAUAAGAAAUUUCCACUUAAAACUUAGACAUAAUUUGACUAAAAUACUUAAACUAAAUUAAUAAAAUCAUGAAAUCCUUAUCUAGAUAGGAUAAUGAAAGUAAUUAAAUAAUUAAAAUUACAAAACUCCUCCUCAUAGCCAAAUUUGAACUCCAUCUCGGGUUUGGACUUCAAUUGCACUCAGCUUCAUCUUUCUUCAUUCUUUGUUGAUUCUGAGGAUCUUGAGUAGGAUUCUUGAAGUAAGAUUCAUUAAGAAGACUUCGGCAUAACAAGGCUUCCUUGGCCGAUUUGUUGCUCUUGGAUGCCUUCAAUUUGAGGUCUUUUCGCAUUUUCUUGGCUAUCCUCAUCCUUCUUGAAGUCUAUAAUUUCCAGCAAGGAUUCCUCCAUGGAGAAUGUGUAUUCUUCUUGAACUUGAAGUAAUAAAGUUGGAAAAUAAGUCUCCUCCUCUUUGGUGUUGGAAUCCUUCAAGCAAUCUCCCUCUUCCUCUCGAUUUUGGAGUCCUUCAAGGCCAAGAAUUCUUUUGGCCCAUUGCCCCUCUGAUAGGCCUUGUUGGUCUUUUUCCCUUUUGGGAUUGGUUUGCUCUUCAUCCUCAUCUACGUUGGUCCUUGGGAGCAAAGCCUUUGGGCUCACAGGUCUUGGGCUUUAGCCUCUUGGACCGGCUACUUUGAAGCCACUUGAACUCAUCUUGGGCCUGGAACACUUGUUGGGUUUCAAAAAUAUCCAACCCAUCCAAAAUUGACCCACAAGCUCGUGGGAACACUCCAGCAUGUAGGAAUUCUUCUCCGUGUGGGAAGAUGAUUCGCGGGCAUGUGCUCGAGUAUGUGCAGCGUGUGUGCAUGCGUUGGCAGUGCACGUGCUUCCUUGGUGCGCACACGGAGAGCAUGUUAUGCGUGUGUGUGUUGGCCUCCCUUCGCGUGCGGGUUUUUUCACCUGCAUACCCGCAAGUUCGCAGGUAAUUUUCCCAUGGCCACUCCAACUCUCGCGGGUUUCCAUUCUCCUUGGGUCUCUUCAUCGGACAUUGCUUCGAGGUUCUCAGAUGUCACAUCAUCCCCCAUUCUUUAAAAAGAUUCAUCAUCGAAUCUGAGUCUUUGUCCCUGAUAUAAUUUGAUGCACAUAAAGUUGCCAGAAACACAUGAAAAUAAUUUGGUUGGUACCUAUGAAUGUUGGAACACAUUCUCAUAUAGAGUUGCUUCAAAGUUUUUGUCUCCGGUGCCAUGAUGAACUCUUUUAUCUUUUAAGUUGAGCCUUGGAAUCGAAUCUACUUAAUAAGGACCUGUACGUUAGUCUCAAACACUGGCAAGGAAUCCUAACGAAGUAUUGACUCUAUAGCUCAAACUUAAGCUCAAGGAACAAUGCAAAUGCAAUACUGUAAAGUAAACGUGAAGCAAACGGUUUUUCGCUCAUAGAAGUGAGUUAAUCUUCCUUUACUUUAUGCAACAGAAUGAAAGCAAAAGUUUUCAUACACAUCUGGUAGGUUAUGUAAUCUUCCUUUGAUACUUCAAAAGUUUUCGUUACACUGAUAGGCGGUUAAUCUUCUUUUGUUUGGUUUUAAUAUAAAACAACAUGUCAAUUGCCUUAUUUGGUGCAAUUGAGAUACUUUUGGGUUUUUGAUUUUCUAUAUAUAUCUUUUUUGACUAAUAGAAUAAACAUACAAUUACUUGAAUUGAAUGUAUAGAAUAAAUUCAACUGAGAUACAAAUAUGAAUUAACAAUAAAAUUUUGAUUGCUAACUUAUGCAAAACACAAAAAUGUUAAAAUAAUAAAAAUGGUAGGUUCACUAAAAGUUUAAACUCUGAUACCAGAUGAUGCGGGAGGAGAUGGGAAAGAUCAUUUCAACUCCCAGAAUCUCAUUAAACAUAUGAUUCAAAAGACUUAAUUACCUAAUUUACUCUCCCUACUUGAAACUACACCCACCUAUAUGGCAUGCAAAAUCAAGAUAAUAGGAAAAUAAAAAGAAUAAGGAAUGACAUCACGGUUCACCCGAUAAAUCAAUUUUAAUGCCCUGUCUUAACAAGACUUCUGAAAGUUCUCUAUCUUGAAAAACUUGAAGAACACUAACGAAAAUUAGUCAAACUAAUUUCAAGAAAGCAAAAACUUCAAAAUUUAUCUUUAAAGUUUUGUUUACUACCUAAGGACUUGAGGCCUACCUUUUUAUAAGCUUUAUUCUACGAAUUCAACUCGGAGUAGGAUAACAAAUUCCCACUUAAAACUUAGACAUAAUUUGACUAAAAUACUUAAACUAAAGUAAUAAAAUAAUGAAAUCCUUAUCUAGAUAGGAUAAUGAAAGAAAUUAAAUAAUUAAAAUUAUUAAACUCCUCCUCAUAGAAGAACUUGAACUCCAUCUCAAGUUUGGACUUCAAUUGCACUCGGCUUCAUCUUUCUUCAUUCUUUGUUGAUUCUUGAGGAUCUUGAGUAGGAUUCUUGCUGGAUUUUUGCAAGAUUUUAAGUAGGAUUCAUCAAGAAGACUUUGGCAUGGACAAUGCUUCCUUGGCCAAUUGUUGCUCUUGACUCUUCAAUUGAGUCUUUCUCAUUUUCUGGGCUAUCCUCAUCGUCUUGAAGUCUAUAAUUUUCAGCAAGGAUUCCUCCAUGGAGAAGGUGUCUUCUUAUUGAACUUGAAGUGAUAAAGUUGGAAGAUAAGUCUCCUCCCCUUUGGUGUUGGAAUCCUUCAAGCAAUCUCCCUCUUCCUCUCGGUUUUGGAGUCCUUCAAGGCCAAGAAUUCUUUUGGCCGAUUGCCCCUCUAACAGGCAUUCUUGGUCCUUCUCCUUUUUGGGCUUGGUUUGCUCUUCACCCUCAUCUACGUCGGAUUCAAGAAGGAUAAGCCUUCUUAUGUGGCCGGACCUCCUUUUCUUUGGGCCCUCUUGGCCAUGGCGGACUUGAGUCAAGACCGCGCUUGGCCGAGCCUUGGCUUUCUUCUUGGGUGGCAACAACACCUUCUCUUGGUCUUCCAAGACGGACACUUGGUUUGCACGGCUUGAAUCUCCUCGGGUUGGGCAUAACAAGAUCAUCUCGGUCGGUCCUUGGGAGCAAAGCCUUUGGGAUCUCGGGUCUUGGGCUUUAGUCUCUUUGACCGGCUACUUUGAAGCCUCUUGGACCCAUCUUGGGCCUGGAACACUUGCUAGGCUUCAAAAAGACACAACCCAUCUGAAAAUUAACCCACAAGCUCAUGGGUAGGAAUUCUUCUUCAUGCGGAAAAAGGAUUUGCAGGCAUGUGCCUGGGUGUGCGCGGUGUGUGCACGCACGCUGGCAGCGCGUAUGCUUCCAUGGUGCGUGUGCGGAGAGCAUGUUGUGCAUGUGCGUGUUGGCCUCCCUUUGGGUGCGGGUUUUCUCACCUGCAUACCCACGGGUUCACGAGUAAUUUUCCCGUGGCCACUGCAACUCUUGCGGGUUUCCCAUUCUCCUUGGGACUCUUCCUUGGACAUUGCUUUAGGGCUUUUGGAUAUCACAUCACCUGUCCCCAAAAUGGAAUCACUUUGAUCAUAUUCUCCUUAGAUUCUGCUGAACUUCUAGUUGACUAAACACUCUAGUAGCUCAUGGGCCAGACCUUCCAGUAAAGAGUAGGCUGCUUGGUUUGAUUCUUCAGAGAUUUUUAAAAUUUGCAGUUUCUUUGAUUUCUUGAGUUUAAUAUACUCUACAUGGCUUCAGUACAGCUCCAUAGGUAAAAUAAAGUUUUUGGACAGAAAAUGAGUAGAAAGGAGUGAAGAAGAAAGUGCAGAAAAACAUUCGAUAAUCUGCAGCUUGCUUGAGCUUAAUCAAUGUAGCAUAUAGUUGACCUGAAAAUCUUUGAAAUGCCAUUUAUUGAACAAGGAAUCUGACCAUAUGAUAAAAAAGUGCAAAAUACCAGCAAGAUUUCCUUCAAACCACGGACAUAAACUUUCAAUAUAGAUAUAGGCCCACCUAUCUCAAGAUGAGAUUUGAUCAGGAAGCCACAUAAACACGACCCAAAGGUGAAAAGAGCUGCCUUAAACACACUCUAUUAUCAGAUCUUAGUUAGAAACAGCCAGGUUUAAUGCAUAUGCAAAAGUGAAUAUUUUUAAGUACAUCAGGAUGGAUCAAAGUCGUUCCAACAUGAAUGAAUAGUCAGGUGAGGAAGAAAAUAAAAAAAAUAAUAAAUAAUUCCACAUCACCACAUAUGGAAUGUUAAAGUGGAAGUAACAAGAAGUGCCUUAAACACCCUUCCAUAGGAUCUGCUCUGAAACAGCAAAAUUUAAUGCAUAUACAAAAGUGAACAUAUUAAUGACAUCAGAGUGGCCAGUCAAUUACUAGUGAAAUGGUCAGGUAAAGAAUAAAAUUAAAGACAACCGUUAAUAAUUGCAAAUCACCAAAUAUGGAAUGUCAAGAAGGAAGUGACCCAACCUUUUGGGCAUGUAAAGUAUUUCCAAGAUAGCACAUUAUAACUGAAGAAUGAGGGUUUAGUUGGAGAGCCUGUUGAAAGUGGUGCUCGGCAAAUUCAAAAUUCUCUUUGCGGAAGUAGAUCAUUCCAAGACCAUACCAGGCAUUGUAAUGUCUCACAUCUACCCUGAGGGCACUUUGGUAGCACUUUUCUCCAUUUUCAUAAUCUUCAAGUGCUGCAUACCUGUAAAUAGGAUAAUUUGUUGAGAGAGAUGCUAUGUUUUCCAUAGCUAUCUGAUUAUUGAAGACGACACUUCAUGAUACAAAUCAGAAAUAAUAUCAUACUCAUGACCGCAUAGCGUAUGGGCAUAUGCAAAUCUUGAAUUAAGCUUUACAGCCCGCAAAAAUAUUUUGAGAGCAGUCUCAUGAUCCUUCUGCAAACUGUAACAGUUUCCAACAGCACACCUGCAAUAGAGCUUCCACUGUAAAGAAAGCAAUAAUGACAAAAAUAAAUGGGAAAUACUGAAUGAUGUAUUAUUAACUCUAUGGUAAAAUACAGAAGCAAACUUUCUCUCUCUAACAUAAAGAAAACUUCAUUGGUGAAAGUAUGUUUAUCACUGCACUUGCAACUGCUGUUAUUAUUAUUAUUUAACUGCAAAAUGGAAAUAAAAAGCAAAAACCUAAUUUAGCUUAUCGUCUCUUAGCUUGUAUUUCUUGUUUCUCUUGUUAAUAAUAUUUCUUUUAUCAAAAGGAAAAAGAAAUAAAGAUUCAGUCAGAAACUCCCAAUUUCUCUAAAAGUGAAAAAAGUCGUACAAAAGAAAAAAACGUAGCACACAUUUGCAUAUUCUUACAUGGAGUAACACUUAAUGGCCUUCUAAUGACUCAUAAUGCAAUAAAAUUAACUCAGUGAAAUUGUAUAGCAAACAUUUUUAUAUUUUUCCGUGGAAAAGAUGUUAAUUGCUAAUGUAUCUCAUUAUUGGACGGUUCUUGCCUUCAAUUUGGAAUGCUCUUAAAAGCAUCCACCGGCACCUCUUAACGAUUGUAAAUUACAGCAUGUAAAUCUGAAGAAAAAAUUUAUAUAGAAGAUACCAAGAUACUAGUCCAUAAUACCUGACAGUUAAUCAAGACAUAAAACUUUGAUAAUGUUAAAACAAUUCGUUCUUGUAAUACACAAUAUUAUGAAAGGAUAGAAUGCUAUGAUUUAUUAUUGAAUAGUUUGAUUCUAUAUAUACACAACUUUAAGUAUAACUAAGAAAACCAUAAAAUUAAUUACACGGGUAUUUGAUUAUUAUACUCUUACACAUAAACUAAAUUAUAUACUUUUCAACAUUUUCCCUCAAGCUGGUGAAUACACAUUUCCAUUACCAGCUUAACAAUGAUGGACUAAAACUUUGGAUUGUUCAAGUUCUUACUGAGUACAUAUGAUAAUUUAGAAUUGGUAGGCAUGUAGGAGUGCAGGUUAAACCACUAUCUAGCUUCUCUUUGAUGAAAUACCUGUCAUCUUCAAUAUGUUUCAUCCUGUUAUGUGGCACUAUGUUAGAAUCCGCAAUCUGUGUACAAGAAUCUUUUUUUUUUAGGCUAAUUGCUAGGUUAUUUACAGCUGAUUGAUUGACAGAAUAUUCGGUAUUAAUAUUAGCAGAUUAUUUAGUAUUAGUACUAGAGAUUACAGCUGAUUGGUUGUCAGAAUAUUUGGUAUUAGUACCAGCAGAUUAUUUGAUAUUAAUACCAGAGAUGCCUCUUUCCUUUCUUUGCUGAUCCUCACUGUAUAAAUGGCACCCUUUGUAAACAUUUGUACGUGUGUGAAAUAAAUAAAAUCAGAAGGUCCUUCCUCUCAAUUCUUACAUGGUAUUAGAGCAUUAAAGCUUUACAAUCCUAGUUCCUUCGUUCAAGCUCUUCCAAGAAUUUUGCUUCUUUCCUUCCAUCAUGUAACUCCUCGUUCCAACAAACAUGAGUUUACAGGAGGCAAAGACUUCGUCCACAGAAUUAUUGAUGGCCACUUAUCCACCAGUCCUAUCUGUGAUCGCAAUCCUUUGGAGAGAAUUCUUCACUACAGAUCACUAAUCACAAGUUGGAUGGAAAAAAAUUUCCUCCAAUGGUUGCAGUCCAUCCUGCUCGUAAUUAGAGGAAGGGGAAAACUCGGCUACAUCACUGGCGAAAUCAAAUGUCCAGAUGUGUCUUGGACAUAACCUAUGCCAAUUGGGAACUCAACAAUUCCCUUGUCACGGCUUGGCUCAUCAUUCGAGUGUACAUUAACUUCUUGAAGAAGAUACAUCAUAAGUUAUCUCGAUUGUGAUGCAGGAGGGUAUGGAAAAGAUCAUUUUAACUCCCGGAAUCUCAACCCAAUGCAUGGAACAUAGAAACUUAACUGCUUAAUUAACUUCUCCAUUUACUUGAAUCUACAAUCAAGAAUAUGGCAUGCAAAACAGAAUUAGGAAACAAAAUUGAGGAAAAAAAAGACAGCCGCAGAUUUAAGGUUCCUAUCCAAACUCUAGGAUUUAAUUUAACUAGAAAACAAAUACAUAAUUAAUUAAAUAAUUAAAUCUUAUUCUAAUCCUAAUUUAAAUACAUAAAAUAAUUAAGAAAAUAUUAAAAUAAUAUUUUAUCCUUAUCCAAAUCUUCAAAAAUCUUGAUCUCUUUUGGACUUCAAUUUUGAGUAGAAAUCCUCUAAUUUUGGCAUUUAAAUCACAUGGGAAAUUGGUUAAGUCUUGGAGUCCUUGUAGCAAUUGGAAAAGGAGAAAAAGGAGUCCAAAAAGGAUUAGGAAAAAGGCUCCCCUUGCGGGUAGCUUGAACACGGCGCGCGGGUUGCACAAAGGUGCUGUGCGGGUUGCGCGGGGCGGUCUUGCUGCCUGGGCUGGGCGCGCACCUGGGCUGGAUGCCUUGUGCGGGCUCCGGGCGUUGGGCACCCGGCCUGCUUCGCACUUGCGCAUGCUAUGUGCAUGUGUGCGUUGUCUCCUGCGCGCAUGCCAGUGUGCGCUGGGUGUGCGGAGUUGCCUGUCCACAUGCCUCGCGUACUGUUUCACGCGAGCGAUGCACCCAUAUGUUCGGGUGAGCUCUUCCGCAUGUGUGAUGAUGUGCACAAAUGUUAAAAGCACGUCACAUGCAUGAUAUGUGCCAUCCUCUGACUUCCUGGAUCAGACUGCGUCUUAUGGGCUUUCUCUUGGGCUUCAACGGUGAGUUGUUUACCCAUUCUUGAACCAAAAGGUUGAAAAUACUCUGAAAUUGCUUGGCCCGGCUUCUGGUAAUCGGUCUUGGGGGUAAUUUAAUCUGACUUCCUAUCAGUCCCAACUCAUCAUGGACUUUGUGAGAUGGCUUGUCAUCUACUUGAGUGUCUGAUAUCACAUUAGAUUGUCUCCAUGUUUUGUGUGUGCCAGAUUGACUUUGCUUCUUUACUUGUUGACAUGGUUUUGCAUCAUUAGUGNNNNNNNNNNNNNNNNNNNNNNNNNNNNNNNNNNNNNNNNNNNNNNNNNNNNNNNNNNNNNNNNNNNNNNNNNNNNNNNNNNNNNNNNNNNNNNNNNNNNNNNNNNNNNNNNNNNNNNNNNNNNNNNNNNNNNNNNNNNNNNNNNNNNNNNNNNNNNNNNNNNNNNNNNNNNNNNNNNNNNNNNNNNNNNNNNNNNNNNNNNNNNNNNNNNNNNNNNNNNNNNNNNNNNNNNNNNNNNNNNNNNNNNNNNNNNNNNNNNNNNNNNNNNNNNNNNNNNNNNNNNNNNNNNNNNNNNNNNNNNNNNNNNNNNNNNNNNNNNNNNNNNNNNNNNNNNNNNNNNNNNNNNNNNNNNNNNNNNNNNNNNNNNUCGCUCUCAUAAUAAAAACAAGAGUAUUAACCCCUUACUAGAAGACAACUUUGUUGUUAAUCGUCCGGUGACUCAAUCUUUGAUUAGAGAACACAAUAAUUUGGUAUCAGAGUCAUACACCAUGGGCGAGCAAGGACUGUGUGAGGAACUGAAAAAUUUAAUAACUCAAUCAAAUGUCCGGAUGGAUGUUAAGCUACAACAAUUGUCUCAAUAGAUGGAGUGUGACACUCUUGAAUCUGUUUAACUUAAAUGUUCAUAUUUUAAAUUUAUAAUUUAAAUUUACUCUUAAAAUUAUUUUACGCAUGAUUUUAAUUUUACUUUCAUAAAAAAAAGAGAUUUAAAAUUGAAAACAAAAGAGAAAAAAAAAAGAAAGAAAACAUGACCACAAACAAGCCUCGGGGGAAGCCGUUAGCAAGUACAUGCGCGGGAGUGCGAGCAUGCGGAACAGUGCCACACGCACUCACGGGGGACAAACGUUGCCCACUACAGUGGCUGCGUGUUGUGCCACUGCAGCUGCUGCCAUGGCUGCCACAUGGCAUGCAUGCAUGCCAUGUCUCAUCAGUCGGUCGGCCAUUAAGGCUGAUCAACGGCCGAAAUUGUUUGCAUGUGAUUCGACGAAUCACUUGCACUCCUCCUUGGAUAUUUAAACUCAAAACCUCUCAUUUCUUCUCCAUUUCUUCCCCUUUCCUCUUCUUCUUCACUUGACUAAAAAGAGGGAAGCUUAAGAUAGAGUUUGAGUGUAAACCGACAGCUUCAAGCCUUCUUCCUCCUCCGCUGUGAGGUUUUUCUCGUGCCUUCUUCCUUUAACCAAAGGUAAGUCUCCUAACUCUCAUUCCUGACUCUUUUCUUCACUUAGGGUGCCAUGGAUCUCACCCUUGAGCUUUUCUUCUCUCUCAAAUUUGCAGAAUACCUUCCGCAAGUCCCAAGGAAAGCUUUUCUCCCUUUAAACCGCAAACAUCCUCACUUCCCUUGAACCCGAAAGUUUGACAGUAAGAGGUAGGGGUUUAGUAUUUCUUCUCACCCUCCUAAUGAGUUUUCUAGGCUUUAAAACUGUUUAAAAGUCAAAAUGCUUGUUUUGUUUUUGAUUGCUUCAUGCAUGAAAUUGUUUACUAUUUGAAUUUGGUUUAUGUCAAAUGUUUGAUGAAGUUUUUGAAGUGAUUUGGAAUGCUAAAUGCCGAGGUGAUUAUGCAUGUUUGAAGAAUGACUAAGAUGUUUGAAUAAUGUAGAUUGAAACAGUAAAAAUAGGUUUGGAAUGGGUUUUGGGCUCCAAGGUGCCAAAAUCGGUCAUGGGUUACGGCUGUGUAGCUAUAGUGCACGAGGGUCAUUGCCCUGGCACGCUCAGGUGCCAAGACGAGGUCCCUGGCCUGCUGCGUGCCUGCAUUAGCCGUGCGCGGGAGCACAAGCCCUGCCAAUCGUGCCAGCAAGCCGAGGGGGCCUGCUUUGCGUGUGUGUGUGCGCAUGUCACCAUGCGUGUGCGGGCGCAGGCGCACGGCUUAUGAGACGUGUCUGCACGCCGAGAAGCUUGUGCAUGCACGAAGUGAGGGUUUGCUUGUGAGCGCACGCGAGGGCAUGUCCCUGCUUGCCCAAGCGCGCGUGGGAUAGCUUGCUGAGGGCACGCUGUGGCAUGUCGUGUUGUUCGGCUGCUUGGCACGCCUGCAUGCUAAGCAAGCUGUGUGGGCUGAACCUUCUACCUCAUCCUUUGGGCAAAAGUCGAGAGGGUUAGCCCAAUUGGGCCUCGACCCGAGAAGGGAACCCGAUAACCCAAUCUGAGUUUAUAGGCUCCCAUGUGGGCCGAGUAGGAUCGUGUGGGCCCCCAACUGGGCUGAGUGAUGUGCGGACCCCCAUCGGGUCUGGUUUGGUUCAAGGGACCACCACCGGUCCAGGUCAGGUGUGUUGGGCACUUAUUGGGCCGGGUUAGUCAAUGGACCCUAUUGGGUCAAGUUUGGUCAAGAGACAAUGUCAGGUCUGGGUUUAUUUAGUUGGUCUCGGUUGGGUCCAGUUCUGACCAGUGGACCAUAAUUAGGUCUCGAUUCAAUGGCUUAGGGUCUUUGUAGGCCUAAAUGAUUGGGAAUCAGAGUAGUCCCGGAAUUGGGUGACUGUAGGUUUUUAGAACCAGUUUGAUAGACCCAACGGGUCGAAACGAAUGCUAUAAACUAUAAAUUAUACUGUGAGCCCAUAAUUGUUAAGAAAAAUGAAAAGACUGAAAUAUAUUUGACAGUUGUCACUGAAGGGUGACCGAAUAUGAUUGUUAUUCGACUGUUGGUGAACCGCUCCCUGUGAAUUGUAUUGGUAUUCGCUCUGACGAGAGCAGAUCGCGACUGAUUGUAAGGGUCGCAGUGGUGAAGUACUAUCGUGGUCAUAGUCUCUAACUGUAUUAUUGUAUAUCAAACUGAUCUGUUUCCCAUUCACAGUGUUAGUAGGGGAUCUCCUCUGUCCUCUGCUGAUAUAGGUUAGAACGGUUUCUCGCGAAAAUCUGUAAAUACUAUAACUGAACCGAAAAAUUUAAUUGUUUAAGUAGAACUGUUGCUUGGGCAUUCGUGUUUUAGACAGCUUUCUUGAAUAGGUUAUGUUUCUCACUGUUCCAUCUUGUCAUGCCAUGUUUAGAUAGUUUUGUUUAUAUCAAAUAUGUUUCUCACUGUUUCGUCUUACUACUUAUGUUUUGAGGCUAGUAUUUCAAAACGUAUUUCAAUUAAUUAAAAGUACAGGAUUUUCAAUGAUAUUUUAAACAAACUAAACCUGCAACGGUAUCUGACGGUAAGAACCAUUGACUGUAAAAGUAACGAUAUUUUUCUUCAAAAUAAAAUAACUUUUGAAACGUUAGUAACAUAAUUUAAAUAUUAUUUCUCUUACUGAAUUUUAUGGAACUUACCCAAAUCUAUUUCUCCCAAAAGAUUUUUAGAGAAAAUAAACUUUUAAUUUUUAAUUAUUUGUUUUGUUUACAUUUAGAAUAUAUAUAGACUAAUUAUUCUUAUUAUAUUUGAACUCUAAUUAUAGCAUAUAAUUAUAUUAUUAGAACUCUAAAUACUAUAGUAUUCUACUUAACAUAAAAUCUUUAUCAACACUCCUCCUCAAGUUGGUGCAAAGAUAUCACACAUGCCCAACUUGCAAAUCAGGUUCUGAAGAGAUUUGUUGCAUAAUCCUUUAGUGAAAAUGUUAGCCACUUGGUCGGCAGAAUAUACAUGAUAUAAGCAUAGAGAGCCACCAACUACCUUCUCUUUUAUGAAGUGUCGAUCAAUCUUAAUGUGUUUUAUCCUGUCAUGUUGAACUGGAUUAUGAGUAAUGUUAAUUGUUGCUUUAUUGUCACAAAAUAGGGAUAGUUUCUUAUUUUUAAGCAGUUUUAACUCCCUCAUUAGCUUUUGCAACCAUAGUACUUCACAUAUUUCUUGCGCCACUGCUCUAUAUUUUCUCUCAGCACUGGAGCGAGCAACUACACUUUAUUUAUUACUUUUUCAUGUGACUAAGUUGCCUCCUACAAGUGUGCAGUAACCUGUAGUUGAUCUUUUAUCAUCUAAGGAAUCAGUCCAAUCGACAUCUGUAAAUGUUUCUAUUUUAAGAUGACCAGCCUUAGAAAAGAGCAGACAUUUUCCCGAUGCAGACUUCAGAUAUCGUAAUAUGCGGAAGACAAUAUGUAAAUGAGUCUCACGAGAAUCAUGCAUGUACUGACUCACAAGACUAACUGCAUAUACUAUAUCGGAUUUGGUAUGUGAGAGAUAAAUGAGUCUUCCAACUAGUCUCUGAUAUCUUCCCAAAUCAACCUGCUUGCAGUUUGUGGUUGCUCUCAAUAGGUGAUUCUGCCGGCUUACAACCCAUCAUAUCAGUCUUUUCUAGUAAAUCUAGGAUAUACUUCUUUUGAAAAAUGAAAAUCUCUUUAUUGGAUCUAACAACUUCAAUUCUCAAGAAGUAUUACUAUGUUUCUAAAUAUUUUAUUUCAAACUCUUGAAUAAGAUGUUCCUUCAACUGAGUCAUCUUCUUUGUAUCAUCUCUAGUCACCACAAUAUCAUCCACAUAAAUAAUGAGAAGAGUGACUUUAUCCUUACGAUAUUUAAUAAACAAGGUAUGAUCCGCAUUAUUUUGUUGAUAUCCAAAAGAGAUCAUAACUGUUUUAAACCGUUCAAACCAUGCUGUUAAAGACUCCAUGGAGGAAUACAUUUUUUACAUCAAACUGCUGUAAAUCCCAAUUAAGGUUAGCUGCGCAAGACAAAAGUAUCCUAAUUGUGUUCAUCUUCGCAACAGGUGCAAAUGCCUCCUGAUAGUCAAUCCCAUAAGUCUGAGUAAAUCCUUUAGCUACCAAUCUACCUUUGUACCUUUCGAUCGAUCCGUCUGCUUUGUGUUUUACAGCAAACACCCAUUUGCAACCAACUAUCUUCUUUCCCUGUUGAGGUGAAACAAGUUUCUAUGUUUCAUUCUUUGUUAAUAUUCUCAUUUCUUCAAUCAUGGCUUUCUUCCACUUGGGAUUUCCUAGAACUUCUCUCCAAUCCUGUGGAAUAAACACAGAGAAAACAGACAAGACAAAAACUCUAUAGAAGAAAGAUAGAGAGUAAUAGGAAACAAAAUUAGAUAUAGGGUACUUAGUACAAGUUCUUUUUCCCAUUUCUAAUAGCAAUAGGUUCAUAUGAUAAAUCACAAAAGAAGGAUAACUCACCAGUAUCUUCUGGAACCAAAGAAGAUUCUUGACCUGAGAUAAACUACAUAAUGAUUUUUUCAGAAUUCUCUCUCCUUGAAUACUUUUUCAAAUAUGAUUUAUCUAGAUGUCUAACAUUAUUUUCUUGAUUAAGACUUUUUGUAAUAGAAUUCUCUCUAUAUUUUUUCAGCAGUGUUAAGCAACAGAUAUAUUAUGUCAAUAUAGGGUUGCAUGGAAUUUAUGAGUCAUGACAUUACCAAUGAGCUCUCAGAGUCCCAUCUAUUAUAUUCUGAAGUACAAACAUAUGGUUUCUUCACCUCACCAAUAAUGUAACCAUACAAUCCUUUAAAUUUGAUGAACAAUGAAAAAGAUCUCGACCAAGUAAGAUAAUUAGUUCCAUCAAGUUUUACGGAACUGAUUUGUAAUGAAAGAUUAUCAAAACUAGUAACACUCACCUUUUUUGCUUAUGUCAUUUUAGAAUGCUAAAAAUAAGAAAAAAAAUACCCAGUAAUGAAAAAUGGACCUCCUAUCUGUGCCAAGGAGCAAAAAAAACCAGAAUCAGAUCUGGUUCGGCUCUAAACGGCUCGGGUUUAGUUCUAAAACCGCUCAAAGUCAGCUUGGCUCGUCUUCUUCGGAUAAAUCUCUGAACAUGCGCAAAAAAAGGAAAUGGUAUGGCCUUUUUUACCUGCAUUUAUUAAUGUGCAGCUAUAAUUUUUUACUAGUGUUUCUGGAUGUGCGGCUUAAAGUUUUAUCAGCGUUUCUGAAUCUGCGGCUGCAACCUUUUUACUGGCGCUUGAGGAUGUGCAAAUGCAACUUUUUACCAGCGCUUAUGGUUGUGCAGUUGUAUAUUAUUACCGACGCUUUCGGAGGUGCGGCUGCACUUUUUACCGAUGCCUGCAAAUGUGCAGCUUUAGUUUUUACUGGCACCUGCGAAUGUGCGGCUGUAGCUUUUUACCGGCGCUCUGAUACCAUGAAGAUUUUUAGAGAAAAUAAACUUCUAAUUUUUUAUUAUUUGUUUUGUUUACAUUCAGAAUAUAUAUAUAAACUAGUUAUUAUUAUUUUAUUUGAACUCUAAUUAUAGGAUAUAAUUAUACUAUUAGAACUUUAAAUAAUAUAAUAUUUUACUUAACAUAAAAUUCUUAUCAACACCCCUAGAUGAUGAAGAAAGUGAAUGAUUGCUCCCUGAAACUUCUUUGGAUCCAUUCGCGAACUAAUAGUGGACAUUUGAGUACAUGUGGAGGAUUGUACUUUGAUGAACAAUUAUUUUGUAAUGAAAGAAGUGGGUAGAACAACGUCUGAAUAUGUUUUGUUAUCCAACUUCUUGGCCUUAGAUGUGUAUGAAUACCAUAUUUUGUAGGAAUGAAUUUUACUUCUACUAUAUAAUUAUAUUAUGCACUCAUAUAUGUUAUGUCAUUGGACAAUGUUAUCCCACCAAGUACCGAGAUGUCACAUGAAGACUUUUCUUUAGAUAGCUGCCUAGUCACGUGACAGAGAUUUAGAGGGUUGAACAGAAGCCCACAAUAGUCACAUAGUCCAAUCUGGUCACGCUGACAACCAACCGAAAUUGCACACUACAAACAUAGAGCUGGGAAACAGAGGGAAUUAUCUCAUACUACACCAAAUUGGACUUCUCCACCUACGAUGGGAAACAAAAGAUCCUUUGAUGUGCCUCCAUUGAUGUGAGCAAUUCUUUACUAAUCAACAGACUGUCGCCUCUAAUAAAGUUAGUAUAGCAGUUUUUCACAUGUUAGGUGAAGUCCAAUUUUGAUACUAUAAACUACAGCAAAAAGAGUCAGAUAUGGCAUAGAAAACGUUUGCGGAGUAUUACACCCUACAGUUUGGACCGCUCUUACAAAGCAACCCAUUAGACAAAUUGAUUUUGAGUAACUUUAUCGAGAUCAGAAGCAAAUUGUGCAAAAACUUCUAAUUCGGCGAUUGAGCCAAUUUCAAGUUUAAUUUACCAGCUACUUGUUUCAUAACUUUAAUUUGAGCUAUAGAUCCUACUCUGGAGACCAAAAUACCUACAUUAAUAACAAGUCUGAUUCCAACAUUAAAUAGAUUGGUGGAUAAGAAUNNNNNNNNNNNNNNNNNNNNNNNNNNNNNNNNNNNNNNNNNNNNNNNNNNNNNNNNNNNNNNNNNNNNNNNNNNNNNNNNNNNNNNNNNNNNNNNNNNNNNNNNNNNNNNNNNNNNNNNNNNNNNNNNNNNNNNNNNNNNNNNNNNNNNNNNNNNNNNNNNNNNNNNNNNNNNNNNNNNNNNNNNNNNNNNNNNNNNNNNNNNNNNNNNNNNNNNNNNNNNNNNNNNNNNNNNNNNNNNNNNNNNNNNNNNNNNNNNNNNNNNNNNNNNNNNNNNNNNNNNNNNNNNNNNNNNNNNNNNNNNNNNNNNNNNNNNNNNNNNNNNNNNNNNNNNNNNNNNNNNNNNNNNNNNNNNNNNNNNNNAAUAAGGUAUUCUUGUUAUUAAUAAAAUAAGUCAGAAAUUAUCUUAAAUUACGAUAUUGGAGCUUUCUCAAACAAAAUUCAAGAUAGCGGCUCCUUUUGAUGAGUUGUAAUCUCUUAUCACAAAAUAGGUUACUCUCAUAAUAAGAAUAAGGGUAUUAACCCUUUGUUAAAAGACAACUUUGUUGUUAAUUACCCAGUGAUUCGAUCCUUGACUAGGGAAUACAACUGUUUCUUUCAGUUAUGAGCACUGGUUACUAGUGAUGGUGGGAAAUUAUGAAGGCGAGUCCUAUCUAAGGUUUUUUGUGCUUUGUUUUGGCAAUAAAAGCCGACUACGAUUUAUAAGGAAGUUAUGAUAUUUUUCUAUGCCUUUAAUACAAUGUGGAAGAAUAGAAUAUUAUGAUAUAUUAUUGAAUAGUUUAAUCAUAUAUAUACAAAACCUUAAGUAUAAGAAAACAAAAAUUAAAAUUAGGGGUAUUUUACUAUUAUACUCAUAUAUUAAAUUAUGUGUAUUCACUUUCCAUAAGAUACCAAAAAAAUGUACCAAGAUUCUGGAGCUAAGCGAUCAACUGCUAUUAGCUCUUGUGCCAAGUAGCUUAGUUUCAUAUCCUCCUUAAGGUGCUGCAAAAUGAAGGGUAACAAACAUUUCACCAAGAUGGAAGUAAUACUAGGUGAAUAUAUAUUUCAUUUGUUACAAGCCAACUUAUUGCUAAACAUGAGAAAUUAAUGUAAUCCUAAGACAAAGCUAGAUGUGGAAACAUUCUUUUAAAUCUUAUUAAUUGUUUCACGCGAAUAAGUUUUUCCUUAUUAGUUUAUUUCAGUGCUUCAAUCUCAAUCCUCUCUCAGCUAGUUAUAUGCUUCAGACACUCAUUUCAAAAAACUUCUAAUUCAAGUUUUAGAGAGUGCCUAGUAACAUCCUGCCAAUAUGCUUUCAUUUCUAUACCUAUAUGAGAAUUUCAAGUAUUAUCAAUAUCUAGAAAGAAAGACUAGCAUUUAAUUUACAUCUCCAGCCAUGUAUGUACCCAUUAUAUAAACUGCAGGUAAUUAAUGCAGGAAGAGUUACGGUUAAGCUAACUUAUCUAACAGAUAGUUUAAAAAUAGAGGAAAUUUGGGUGAGCAACAAAAGAAUAUAGAUAGACUAGAGGAAAUUAGGGAUCAAAGUGGAUAAAUUUAACAAAAAUAGAAUAAACGAGAAACAUUUGAGAGAAUAACAACCAGAAGAACAAACACAGAGAGAUCAUUGGGAAUAAAACCCAAUAAAGGAAAUUUGAAUUCAUCAUUGUCUUUCUUUUCUUUGUUGGUUUUUACAAGUCUUUAUAUAAACAUUAGCUACAAGGAAUAAAGAGAAUUAUAAAAGAGAAAUCUAAAAGAUUCUAAUUUUUAUAAUAACUAAAAUCUAUCUAAAAAAAAGUAAAAUAUUAUUGUCCCAAGUAUAAAAGAGAAAAUCUAAAAGAUCGUACUUCAUAUUAAAUUUAAAAUCUACCUAAAAGAAAACAAAAUUAUCUUAUGUGUAAGUAAACCUAAAUAAGUUUAAAAAUAUAAAAUAAUAAAAACAAUUACAAAAGAUUUCUUUAGUAGGAAAUUUACUCGAACUUAAGAUCUUCUUUCUGCAUUAUUAUUCACCACUUAGUAAAAACGCGACCUCAAAUUUGAAGAGGCAAAGCAUAGAAAUUGGAAAAGCUCAAACCUGAUCUUCCAAAUCUUAAAAAAUGUGGGAGUUUAGAUAAUCUUUAAACAAAAAUGAAAGCAUACAAAAUUAUAGGUUUCUUACGAUCAUGAAACCAACAAGAUAAAAUGAAAUGGCUAAAAAUCUCUUUAGUGCAAACAUUAUGAAUAGGAACCACCAUAGCAAGAGGUAGAACAAGAUUAUUGAAAGGAGCAAAACAAAAACAACUUUAAUAGGAGCUAAUAUCUCUUGAAUUACUGGUGAGUGAGGAGGAUUCCUAUGAAUUUCUGUUGUUGGACUUUGGAGUUUUUCAAUUGAGGUCUUCUGAAAUUGGUGGAGGCAGUGUUGAUCACCUCCUGGCAGUAGCCAGGGAAACAUGCUAAUGCACAGUCGCUGUUUAGAAAUUUUCUUUUUUUGUUCACUUAAUGAAGGAGAGACUAGGGUGCUUUAAAAAGAAAAUGUUGUUGAUGCAAGCAAAGGGUGGGGGGGGCAACUCAUAUUAAGAUCCUAUAACAAAGAUGAUUACAAGCAAACAGCCAAAAGAGUUUUUUCAAUCAUUGACUCUCAGGUAUUUCACAUGAGACAUCCAUUUACUCUUUUUGGAAAAGUAAUAACCGAACACUCAUAUCUUCUAGGGCAUAUUAAUCAUGUGAAUAAUAAGAGUCUUAAAAAUCUUAGGCACUUGAUUAUUCAUUCUUCCACACUCUUAGCUGAACACCAUUUGCCACACGAAUAGUUUUCAACUUCAAGUAAAUCUUAUAAGGAUUUAAGAAUCCUUAUCCUACUAAGUAAGCCAAGGUUUCAAGAGAUCUACAUCAUCAAAACUGAGAGUCUUCAUCAAUUUAGAGUUCUAUCAAGAUAAGAAAAGAAGAAUCCUAUUAUUACAAGGCUUAGCUGGGAUUACACUAUACUUCAUCUCAUGCUAAAAAAUCUAAAUUUUCUCUUUGAUUUUCUCAUGGAAAAUGAAUUGUUUCUACUUCAAAUUGGAAGUUUUUAAGGCAUCUUCAACACUCCUUCACCAAAGAAUCAAUUAAAUAUUGAAGUUCAAAUCCAACUAAAAUAAAGCAUAGAGAAUUCGGCCACAACACCACCACUUUGCAAGAGAAAAGUCUUUUUAUUCUACUUAAUUUAAGUCUAUUUAUUUAUUACUUUAAUAGUUUUCUAGAUUAGUUGCAAUUAGAAUUAUUACAUGAUUUUACUUUUUGAGUUCAAGUAGAAUUGGUAAGGUUUAUACUUAUAUAAAGGUCUCACCAUUAGGCCGUAAUGAUCACUUUCAAAUUAAUCAAAUCCAAGAAUUAUUCUUACUUUUAGUUUUACUAAUUAUGAGAGCUCUUUGGAGAGGUUCUUUAACAGUCUCGUUGAGUUAGAAAUUGAAUUUACUUAUCAGUGUAUUCUUGUUGCGUGUUUUUAAUUCUAUUUCUUAAUUCUCUAUUACCUUAGUUCACCUUCGCAUGUUGAUUGUGGGUUAAGUAGGAAUGAUUUAUUUAGUGAUUUAAGUUCCUGUAUGCUAAUGUUAUAUGUGGUGGUUUGGAUUGCAUGUGUUGAUCCUGGGUUCCACAUCACAUAGUUUGAGUAUUACUUAAUAAUUACGGUUUAUAAUCAUCAACAAAAUAGAACUUUUCUUAUUAGUCAAAAAAUAAGAAAUUUUUGAAUGUUUUACAAAUUCACAAGCAUUACAAACCAAUGAUUCUAACUUGUAACUUUAAAUAAAUUAGGAUAAAUACUUUCUAAAACAAAUAGUGAUGGAUAACUUAAUCUUUUAUGCAACUCCAAAGCUUCUUGAAUACGAGAUACAAACUCGCCUAUCGAAACUCGGGCUUUAGAAGGGAUCAUAGUGUUGUACUCUCCACCAAUUAUGUAGCCUAUCUUGCACUCUAUCGUAGCAAAGAAAUAAAUGAAAAGACAUAUAUGAACAUGAUCUAAUCCAUGCAUAGGAAAAUGUGUUAAUUUUGUAAAACAAUUAUCCAAGAACGAUAGUUGGUGCACGAAAACUCACAUAAAGAACUGUAGAGUAUUUAUCCAUUCCUUCUAAAGCAUAUGGAGAUAUUUGAUGUGCAAGACCAAAGACAUGUCCAGCAUUUAAGUAAUCCACUAGCUCAAAAUAAGCUUUUCCAACCUGAGUUUAGAGAUAUCAUUUCAAUAUAUUACAAUGUGGCUUUUUCUUAAGACAAAUUACAACUUGACAUUACCUUAUUCUCAUAAUUUUUUUGACAAAAAAAAAAGAAUAUUAUUAGAUAGAGGAAGAAAAACAUAUAAGUAGAGGAUAACAAACCCUCCCAUGUUGACAAAUUAAGGUAAAAAAUGAGUUAAAUAAAAAUCAGAACAAUUGCAUCUCAAUCUCCCUACAAUGUGGCCAAAGAAAUAUCUUUAAAGAAAUCACCCCUAACGGGCCACAAAAAAGGCAAUAAAAACGGUCUAUCUCUGAAGAACUACAGAGGAAAGAAAAAAUUCUUGAAAAUAUCGUAACCUUAGCAAGAGCUUUUAACCUUCCAAAUUAUAUCAAUAAAAACUCAUCCCAACAACUUGGAUUAUUGCCUUCCAAAUUAUAUCACAAUUUUUCUGUGUCAUUACUCUAAAUUAUGUUUCAGUACUGUUUCUUGCCGUCAUAUUUGUUUCUUACUCCUUUAUGUGACCAAGUUUUCCUAAGCAAACCAAUAGUAGACCUUCUAUCUUUCGUUGGACUCGUACAAUCCACAAAUAUAAAUACUUCUAUUCUCUUUGCUUCACUCUCCUUGAAGAAUAAACCUUUUUUUAGAGAGUUUUUGAGAUAUCUGAGAAUCUUGUAAAUAGUAUUUAAGCGAGUUUUUGAUGUCGAGUAUGUAUUGACUAACUAUACUGACUGCAAAGACAAUAUCUAGUCGAAUAUGUGAUAAGUAGAUUAGUUUGCCAACUAAUCUCUAAUACCUUCCUGUUUCAACUAGUUUUCUGCCUGCUUCCAUCUUCUUCUUUGUCUCAAUCGACGUAUUGGUCGGUUUGCAUCCCAGCAUGCCAAUUUCAAUUAAGAUGUCAUAUACAUAUUUUUGUUGAGAAAUGAUUAUCCCUUUCUUUAAUCUGACAACAUCCAUUCCAAAGAAUUAUCGCAUUGGUCCUAAGAUCUUGAUUUUAAAUUCAGUAGCCAAAAUUUUCUUCCCUCUAUUUCUUCUAUAUCAUCACCCUUCAUAAUUAUAUCAUAUUUAUAAACAAUUAUGAUUAUUUUCCUCCACUACUAGACUACCCAAAAGAAAAUAAAAUGAUCAGAUUAUCCUUGUUUGGUAUCCUUGUUCUUUUAUCACCUUAAAAAACCUAUCAAGUUAUGCUCUUAGUGACUUUGAGCCCGUAUAGAGAUUUCUUCAAUUUAUAGAUCUAAUAUGUUCCUAUAUCAAACCCAGGUGACAUUGUCAUAUACCCUUUUUUUCUAAAUUGUCACUAAAAAAUGCAUUUUUAAUGUCCAACUACUGAAGUGGCCAAUUUAGAUUGAUUGCUAAAGAUAGAAGAAACUCGGAUUGAGCUUAGUUUUCGCCUAUGGUGCAAAUGUUUUUAUAUAAUCAAUUACAUAAGUUUGAGUGAAUCUUUUUGCAAUUAAUGGAGAUUUAUAUCUUCCAAUAAUCCCAUUAUCCUUGUAUUUCAAUGUAAACAUUCAUUUGCAAGCAACAGUCUUUUUGCCUUUAGGCAACACUAUUAGUUCCUAGGUUGCAUUUUCUUUCCAAUACUUGCAUCUCUUCCAUGACUGCCUUACUCCACUUAGGAAUUCGUAAUGUUUCCUAUAUAUCUGUUGGAAUUUUUCUCCCUUCAGAAUUAGAGAUAAAGAUACGAUCUUGUAUACAAAGCAUCAUAAAACAUGUAUUUUGAGUAAAGAUAAAGAGUAUACGACUGAGCUAGUUUUCUAAAAGCAAUAGGAAGACUCAAAUCAACAGACUUAUUAAGUAAUAAAGAAUCACUUAUUGCUUGUUUUGACUCAGAUGCCUCAUGAUUUGUCAGAGCUAUCACCAGUUCUAAUUUUUUUAAUGCUUUGGGUAAUGAAAUCCUCAUUGUACUUUUUCUUAGAUCUUCAUCAGUAAACUAAUAUAUCUUUUCUCCUUUAUUAUUCCAAAUCUCCCUUGAGUUUAAAUUUCCUUAUAUAAAUGGUAUAUGAUGAUUGAAUAAUUUCAAAUCUCCCCUGAGUUUAAAUUUCCUUAUAUAAAUGGUAUAUGAUGAUUGAAUAAAGUGAUUGGCGAAGAUGGAUCAUAAAAACUAAGUUCAAAUGACACCAAUCUUCAUUCGAGGUUUCCCCCUUGUAAAAUAACAAGGAAAAUAGGUAAAAUAUUUCUUAUAUUUUAUUUCAAUAUGUUAGGGAUAUAUAUACAUAUAGAAGGGUUUAUGUAUAGUAACCGACAUAAAUUACUCUAUUAAUUUGGCGCCUAUAAUUAUGUUAAUAUAUAUAAAAGGAUAAUCACACAAUUAUACACGGGAAUAUUCUGUAAUCUUGUAGCAUUCCCUUUCAAACUGAAGUAUAAAUAUUAAUCAUACCCAAAUUGUUACAAAGGUACUCAGUCCGAGUUCUAUUUAGAGUCAUUAUGAAUUUAUCACCUAAUUGUUCCUUUGUCUUCACAUGAUCAGUAGAAAUCAAGUUUUCCUAAAUUUUCUCACGGAUGAAGUGACAAUCAAUCUCGAUAUGUUUGGUUCUUUCAUGAUACACUGGAUUUUAGACAAUAUGAAGGACAAUCUAAUUUUCACACCAGAAUUUUGCAGGUGAUAUGGGUUUCAAACCCACUUCAGCUAAAAGGUGAUGUAUUUAUAAGAGUUCACAUAUGGAUUGAGUCAUACCUCUAUACUUGGACUCUACACUGGAUCGAGACACAAGAUCUGCUUCUUACUUCUUCAUGAUACAAGAUUCCUACCAACAAAAAUGCAAUAACCCGUAGUAGACUGUCUAUCAAUUCUAUAUCCAACCCAAUCAACAUCUACGAAAUAUUUAAUGUGAAGGUGCCCAUAAUUGCUAAAUAAUAUGCUAAAUCCCAGAGCACUUUUUAAGUAGUACAAAAUCUGUUCCCGAGCUUUUCAAUGUUUGACUGUAGAUGCAGAUAUAAAUUGACUAACAACACUGACAUGAUAUGUAAUAUCUGAACAAGUCACUAUGAGAUAGUUCAAUUUUUCAACUAGUCGCCUGUGUUUUUUCGAAUCAUCAAGGGGAUCAUUAUCUCUUUUGUAAGAUAUACAUUUGGCAUCAUUAGUGUAUUACAUUGUUUUAUUCCUAACUUUCCAACUAGUCGCCUGUGUUUUUUCAAAUCAUCAAGGAGAUCAUCAUCUCUUUUGUAAGAUAUACAUUUGGCAUCAUUAGUGUAUUAUAUUGUUUUACUCCUAGCUUUUUGGUUUUUACAAGUAGAUUAAGUACAUAUUUCUUCUGAGAUAAAAAAAUUCAUUUUUUACUUCUUGUUACUUCGAAUUCCAUGAAGUAUUUUAAUUGACUCAAGUUUUUGGUAUUAAAACUUGAUUUGCAAAAAUGACUUGAGAGAAGAUAUUUUUGUAUCAUUAUCUCUUAUAAUAACAAUAUCAUUAAUAUAAAUAAGAAGUAUAAUACUAACUGUUGAUUAUCUAUAAAAGACUGAGUGAGUACACUUGCUCUUCUUCAGUCCAAACUCUAAAACUAAUUCACCAAACCACAUAUGGGGACUCUGCUUCCAACUAUACAAAGAUUUAUUCAAAUGAUAGACUUUCUCAUACUCCUAAACAACAAAUUUAAGUGGUUGUUCCGUAUACAUUUCUUCUAAGAGAUCAUCAUAAAGAAAUGCAUUCUUAACAUCCAACUGGUGUAAGUGUUAGUUUUAGGAGAUUGCAAUAGAGAUAAAUAAACAGACAUAUGUAACUUUGGCCACUGGAGAGAAUGUAUCAAAUUAAUCCGCCCCAUACGUGUGAGCAAAAAUUUUUGUCACAAGUCUGGCUUUAACUCUUGCCACUGAGCUAUUUGAAUUCACUUUAACUGAAAAGACUCAUUUACACCCCGCAGCUUUUUUACCUUUAGUAAAUUUACUAAAUUCUAAGUAUGAUUUUCAUCAAGAUCAUUUAUCUCCUACACAUUGUAUUAUGCUAACCAGGGUGAUUNNAAGUUAGAAAUGGGAUAAAUAGAGUUAGGAAAGGUGCAUUGACAUUUACCUUUAUGAAUACUGAUAGGAAGAUCAAGGUCAUGUGGGGAAGGAUCAAAUGACGAAAAGUUAGUGCAGGACAUGUAUCAUUAAUCUGUUGUCUUCUGUAAUAAACACGAAUAAUUGAUGGUGGUACUUGGGUAAGAGGCAUUCCAACACCAUCAUCCGUUUGCUCAACUAGGCUGAAGGCACAUUAUUCGAAGAGACACCAUUAUUUGUUUGCUGAAGAGAGACACUUAAUGUGAACCUUAUAGAUGAGCCACUCAUUGUCUUCUCUCUGACUUGUAAUCUCCGAAAAACAAUAUCAGUUGAUAUCAAAUAUUUAUUGAGAUCUGAAGAGUAGCAAUGGUAUCCUUUUUUAAAGUAAGAAUAUCCCAAAAAAAUACAUUUCAAGGCAUUUGGGUCCAACUUUGUAACAUUAGGCCGCACAUUGCGAACAUAAUAGGUGCUACCAACUAUUUGAGACUGCACUGAAAACAAUGACUUAUUCGAAAAGAGAAUAUUGUAAGGAAUCUCACCAUCAAGAAUUGUAGAUGCAAAUGAUUAACUAAGAAGCAGGCGUUAGAAACAGGAUCGGUCCAGAAUUUCUUAGGGAAAUGUGUUUAGAACAAAAGGGCUCAAGUACUCUCAAGUAAGUGUUUGUUUUUUCUCUCAACCGUUUUGAGAGAGUAUGCCAACACAAGAAGUUUAGUGAGUGAUCUCUUGUUGAGUCAGAUAAUUCUGAAAUGAAUCUGACAUCUAAUCUCUAAUCUUAUCACUUUGUAAUUUAUGUAUAGGACAUUAAAUUAAAUUUUGAUCUCUGUAUGAAAGACACAAAAGUGAUAGAAUAAUUUUUCAUAAAAUAUAUUCAAACCAUUCGAGAAAAAUCAUUUACAAGCGUAACAAAAUAUUUAAAUUGCGUUUUAGACACAACAUGACAAGGACCCCAAAUAUCUGAAUGAACUACUUCAAAAACAUACUCAACUUGUUUAUUGAUUCUUGAACUUGAUGAGGUGCGGUAAUGUUUUACAAAUUGACAUGACUCACAAUCUAAUGAAGGUACGUCAUGAAAUCAAGAAUAUAACUUCUUUAACAUAGUAAGAGCAAAUGUCUUAAUAGAUAAUAUGCUUCAAAUGGAGCAAUGACACUAGAGUAAACAACUGAUCGAAGCACUCAAGUAUCAAGAGUGUAAAGAACAUCUAAUACAUGUCUUUUGCCAAUAAUCUACUUCGUCAUAAGAUCCCAAGAAAGAAUGAGAUACAACAAUUAAAAUUUUUAGUAAGUUUAUAUAGACUUAAGGCAGAUGAUGGGAUAAUUAUGGAAGUUGGUUUUAUAGUCCUAACUGAGAGAAUUUUAUAUAUUCAUCAAUUCUCGGAUAAGGGGAGCUAACAGUAGUAGCAACAGCAGUGAUAUUAUGUAUUCUCUUAUUAUGAUUCUAUAAUUUCUUACAAUGCCAUUUUGUUCAUAUUUGCUCAUGCCAGUAGUAGCAAAUAAUAUUGCUCGAAUCAUUGUUUCGAUUAUCCAUAGCCUUGUUUCCUCUUUUAUUACUAUUCCUUCCUCCUCUAUUGGCAACAAGAAUAUUUAUUUACUAAUUAGGUGUAGUAUUUUCUGUACUUAGUACUCUGUAGAAAACUUUUUAAAGAGACGUGAGCUCAGAGCUGAAUAAAAUCUGAGAUGUGACAAUCUUAAAUUUAGAUGGAAGACUAGUUUAGAAACUCAUUAUGACCAUCUACUAUUUCUGGAUUUGUUGUACACUAAUAUCCUGCUGAAUGAUAAAAGUACAUUUAGUUCAUCAUAUAUCUUCCUGAAUUCCAUAAAAUUAUGAGUUGGCCUCCUUUUUUCACCACGCUAAAAACCCUUGCAAACAUUAUACAUGCGAGACACAUUUUUUUUUGCCUAAAUACAAAAACUCCAGAUUGUCCAUUAGUUCUUGUUACAAGAUUAUAGAAUAUUCCCGUGUAUAGUAGCGUGAUUAUCUUACCAUAUAUAUUAACAUAAUUAGGCAGCAAAUUAAUAGGGUAAUUUAUGUUUGUUAUUAUAUAUAUAUCUGUUUUGUAUGUAUAUAUAUCCCUAACCUUAUUGGAAUGAAAUAAAAAGAAAUAUUUAUAUAUUUUCCUAACUUUUUACAUGGUAUCUAGAGCUAGGAUUAGGGUUUAACAUGUCAGAUUAGAUCAGACCAAAAAAGAGGUUGAAUAACUCAUUCCCAUGUCGACAGUAGUCGACAGAACCGACUUCUGAUCAGUUUAGAGUGCGGCCGGCACGGUGAUGAAGCAGAAGAAGUCGGAUCGACACAAAACUGAAUCCACGCGGCAAUCUUUCGUGCACAUCUAGAACCAGGAAGAUGAGCGGCAGUCACACAAAAACAAAAGCCGAACAAGCGUUACCAGAGAGCCGGAGAGGAGGAAGCUGAGGCAAAGGCCAGAUUGCGCGACAAAUAGAUUCCAAUAGUUUUUUGGCCCAAUUUUACGAGACUCAUUUCAGAUUUGGGUGCACCACGAUUCUGUGAUGAUUUCUGCAACGGUGGUGGGUGGAUUCCCAGUGGUGGCAGUGAGGUUCUGGUGGCGGCUGUGCGUGUCGAGAUAUUCUUUCUACAUCUGAAUUUUGGUUUAUUUGUAGUGUUUUUUGUGUAUCUCUGGUUGCUGUAUUUUGGAUGUUCUAAGUGGCAUUUUUUAAUUUCUAAAUCAAAAUGAGCGAUAAUAAAUUCUCUGUAAAUGAGAUAGUCUCAACUUUGUCAAAGAUUACUGAACAUAAACUGAAUAGCACCAAUUAUUUGAAGUUGAGUAAAGCUAUUAGGGUUUAUCUACGUAGUUUUGAUAAAGAUGAUCACUUGAUUCAAAACUCUCCUACUGAUGGAAUUAAAUAAGUUUGAGAUUAUUCACAAUUCUUCCUACAGAUUAGAAAUUCAAUUGACAGUGAGGUAAUUGUCUUAAUUAAUCUCUGAGUUCGUUAAAGAACUAAUGGAUUAUUUAGAAUUUUUGUAUUCAUGCAAAGGAAAUGUCUCGCAUGUAUAAUAUUUGUAAGGCCUUCUACUGUGCUAAGAAUGUAGUCAAAUCUCUCACAGCUUACUUCAUGGAGUUCAAGAAGACAUAUUUGGAGUUUAAUAUACUUUUGUCAUUUAGUGCUGAUAUCAAGGGAUAGCUAAUCCAAAGAAAGCAGAUAAUCAUAAUGAGUUUCUUGGCUGGUCUUUCAUUUGAAUUUGAGACUAUCAAGUCUAAAAUUCUAUCCGGUUCGGGAAUCACCUCUUUUCAGGAAGUUUUUAGUAAGGUAUUGCAUACAGAGAAUACUACACUCAAUUAGCAUACCAAUAUUUUUGUUGCCAAAGGAGGAGGAAGAAAUAAUAGUAGAGGAGGAAACAAGGCAAUGGAUAAUCAGGACAAUGACUUAAGCAAUAUUAUUUGCUACUACUGGCAUGAAUAAGGACAUACAAAGCGCCAAUGCAAGAAAUUACAAAAUCAAAAUCAGAUGAUACAAACUGCUAAUAUGACAUCCUGGUAACGGUGUCCAAUAACAUAACAGAUAUGAGUGCAUAAAAGAAUUAUACAGCAGAAGUAAUAUUCAUCCCUUACAAAAUAUGUUCAUAUACAUCUAAGUCCAAAAAGUUGGCUAACAAAACAUAUAUAUACGUUAUUCUAGUCACUUCUUUCAUUACAAAAAUAUAUGGUUCAUCAUAGUACAAUCAUCCACAUGUAGUAAAAUGUCCACUACUGGUCUGUGAAUGGAUCCAAACAAGUUUCGAGAGGCAACUCGGGGAGUGAUUCUUCACUUUCCUCAUCGUCUGGGGAAAAAUGAAUUGAGGCGAGUUUUAUAAAACUCAAUAAGAGUAAUAAUAUUUAAAUUACACUACUAAAGUUUUAAAAGUUGUUUAUUUCAAAAAACGUGUCGUUACUACAAUCAGUGGAACUUACUAUUGGAGACCGUUGCAGAUUAGAUUCAUUUAAAAUACCAUCGAAAACGUUAUACUUUAAUUAAUUGGAAUACAUUUUGAAAUACCAAUUUCAAACAUAAACAAUAAAACAGAACAAUGAGAAAUAUAUUUGAAACCAACAGAACCAUCCAAAAUAUAGCAUGACAUGAUGGAACAGUGAGAAACAUACUCAACUCAACAAGCUUUCUAAAACAGGCGACCAACAACAGUCCUCCCUAAACAAUUAAGUUAUUCGGUUCAGUUACAAUGUUUACAGAUAUUCGUGCAAAGUCAUUUUAACCUAUAUCAAUAGAUGGCAGAGGGAAUUUCCAACUACCACUGUAAAUGAGAAUCAAUUCAAUUCGAUAUACAGUAAUACAGUUGGAGACUAUGACCACGUCUAUACUUCGCCACUGUAGCUCCUAUAAUCAGUCCCGACCGUUUUUAUCAGAAGAAAGGAUAGUAUUAUUCACAGGGAGCGAUUCACCAAUAAUCGAUAACAAUCAUAUUCGGUAACCUCUUAGUGAUAAUAGUCAAACAGAUUUAAAUUAUUUCUUUAUUUUCUUAACAAUUACAGAAUCAUAAUAUAAGUUACAGUUCAUGGCAUUCGUCUCGACCCAUUAGGUCCAUCAAACCGAUCCUACAAACUUACCAGAUUCUCUAUUUCUUAAACUACCUUGAUUUCCAAUUGUUUGGGGCUAUUUAGGCCUUUUACAAUGAACCAGAACCCAACAACAGUCUUCUGAUCAGAAUCAUACCUGAUCGGAACCCACUAACGACACAACAAACUCAAUGAAGGGUCCAUUCACUAAACUAGCCCAAUAAGGACCCAACACUUGAAUUAGACCCAGUGGGGGUCCACUAACUAAUUCAGCCCAUUUGGGCCCAUUGACCCGACCAGAACCCAGUGAGGGUCUUUAAACCGAAUCAGACCCGAUGGUGUCCACUAAACCUUACCCAGACCCGGUGGGGGUCCGCAUGUCAGCCCGGCCCAACAAGGGCUUAUUCGAUGGAAACUGGCCCAUAUAGGGCCCAUAUACCUGGAUUGGGCUGUCAGGUUCUCUUCUCGAACCAAGGCCUAAUUGGAUGACCCUCUUGGCCUUCGCCCAAGGACACGGCAGAGGGCCCAAUCCCGCACACACGACAUGUCGCACGAGCGGCAUGCUCCGGUAAGUUGUCCCAUGUGCACUUGGGCGUGCGAGGACAUACACUUACGCGCACUACGCGCAUUAAUGCGUGCGCACUCGGCCAGGCAGCGCAACACAGCAUAUUGCGCAUGCCACGCCUGCCCCGCGCAUGCACAGGGAUCUCAGCGUGCGAACAAGCCUGACAAGCCCCGAGCCCAUGCACACAUGGUGACAUGCGCACACACAAACUCGCAGCAGGCCCCCUCGACGCACUGACACACCUGGCUGGGCUUAUGCACCUGCGAACAGCUACUGCGCACAUGCAGCAAGCCAAGGACCAUGUUCCUCGUGCACAGUCGUGACACAGCCGCAACCCGUGACCCAUUUUGGAACCUUGGUGCCCUAAACCGAUUCCGAACAAUUUUUACCGCUCCAAAACUAUCCAUUUCAAACCUCCAUAACUCAUUUCACGUAUGCACCAUCGCUUUCACAACAAGCUUGAAACAAAACACUUUGAAUAAAUCAAACAUUCAACAAAAUGCAAUUAUUAGGCGACACACAUGCAUGCAUGAAACAAAUCAAAACCAACAUGCAAUUUCAUUAUUUUAAACAUUUCAAAAGCUUAGAAAACGCAUUAGAAGGGUGAGAAGAAAUACCAAAACCCUUACCUCAACUAUCAAGCUUUCAGGUCCCAAAGAAAGCAAUGAAACUUCGAGGUUUCCAAAGAGAUAACAGUUAUUAGUGGCUGUCCGAGAAGAGUGCAGAAUGUUUCUACAAUUUGAGGAAGAAGAAAGGUUUAAGGGUGAUGUUUUUGGCAAAGUGAAGAAAAAGAGUCAGGAAAGAGGCUUACCUUUUGGCUAAAGGAGGUGGCACGAGAAAAGCUUACGGUGGGGGAGUAAAAGCUUGAAGCUUCUCGGUUGGCACUAAACUCUCUCUCUCUCAAGCCUCUCUUUCUCUCGGUUAAGUGAAGAAGAAGAGGAAGAGAAGAAAUAAAGGAAAUGAAGAAGAGAGAGAGCAAAUUGGGUUUAAAUAACCAAGGAAAGAUGCAUGCGAUCCGUCAGAUCCCAUGCAAUUCAUCUUGGCCAUCGAUCGGCCUUAGUGGCCGAUCGGCGGUCAUGUCAUGGAAUGCAUGAACGCCAUGUGGCUGUCGUGACAGCAUACUGCAAUGGCACCGCUAAUAUUGUUGUUGUUACUGUUAGCUUCUCUUAUGAGAAAAUUUGAUUUCAGUUAACGAGUAUAUAAAAAUCUCUCAGUUUCAAGAAUCUUUAAAUAAAUGCACACCGGUCAUUACUUCUUCUAAAUCAGGUAAAAAAUAUCUUAUUUUCUCUUCAAACAAAUAGGUGAUUGAUUUUGGUGCUACAAAUCACAUGACAAAUAACCCUAAUAUAUUCUCUACUUUUCGAUCACACAAAAAACACAUUCUCCUAUAACCAUUACUGAUGAGUCAACCUAUAAUAUUAUGGGUUCUAGGACUAUAAAACCAAUUUCAUCCUUUACUUUGUCAUCUGUAUUAAGUUUACCUAAACUUAUUUUCAAUUUGAUUUAUGUAAGUAAACCUACUAAACAUCUUAAUUGUUGUGUUUCAUUCUUUCCUGAUCAUUGUUUUUUUUAAGAUCUUAUGAUGAAAUAAAUUAAGAACAUUUAUUAGAAGGUCUCUACAUUCUUAAUACUUGGGUGCUUCGAUCAGUUGCUUGCUCUGGUGUCAUCUCUCUAUUUGAAACACAUUAUCAAUUGGGACAUCCGUCUCUCACUGUGUUGAAAAAGCUAUAUCCUCAUUUUCAUGAUAUAUUUUCAUUAGGUUGUGAGUCAUAUCAAUUAGCAAAGUAUCACCAUAAUUCGUUAAAGAAUAUCCUGUUCUUCUCCUCACUGUCUAGUUCUACAAAUUAGGUGGAUGAUGAGUAGCUCAUCUAUUGGCUCCCGCUCAGUACCUCUACCAAGCAACCACAAAAUAGUGUUUCUUCCGAUGUACCUCCAGUUCUAAUUGAGUAAACUAAUGAUGGUAUGCCUCCGACUCAAUAAGAAGCGUCAAUUGUUCGUGUUUAUUUCAGAAGACAACAGACCAACGAUAUAUGUCCUACUAGUUUUUUCGUUAUCUGAUCCUUGCUCACAUGAUCUUGAUUUUCUCAUAAGUUUUCAUAAAAGUACAAGUCAAUGCACCUUUCCUAACUCUAAUUAUCUCAUUGCUAAUUUUUUUUCAUAUAAUCACUUGUCUCCUUCAUCUAUCUCUUUAAUUAACUCUAUAGAUUCAAUUUUUAUGCGCAAAACAAUUAAGAAAACUCUAAAUCACCCUGAUUGAUGUAAUGCAAUGUUUGAAAAGAGAAAUAAUCUUGAUGAAAAUCAUACUUGAAAUUUGGUGAAUUUACCCAAAGACAAAAAGGUUAUAGGGUGCAAAUGAGUAUUUUCAAUUAAAGUGAAUACAGAUGCCUCUGUGACAAGACUUAAAGGUAGACUGGUAGCGAAAAAUUAUACUCAGAUUUAUGGGGUUGAUUAUUCUGAUACAUUCUCUCUAGUGACAAAACUUACCCCUAUCCGUUUAUUCGUCUUUAUUGUAAUCUCCCGAAACUAGCGCUUAUACCAAUUGGAUAUUAAGAUGCAUUUUUUCAUUGUGAUCUUUUAGAAGAAGUGUAUAUGGAGCAACCACCUGAAUUUGUUACUUAGUGGGAAUAAGAGAAAAUAUGUCAUUUAAAAAAAUCUUUAUAUGGUUUAAAGCAGAAUCCCCGUGCGUGGUUUGACAAGUUUAGUGAAGUAAUCUUAGAGUUUGGAUUGAAGAAGAGUAAGUGUGAUACUUCGGUCUUCUAUAGACAAUCAACUGUUGGUAUUAUACUUCUUAUUUUUUAUGUUAAUGAUAUUAUCAUUAUAGGAGAUGAUUAUGCAAGAAUAUCUUCUUGCAAAUCAUUUUUGCAUAUCAAGUUUCACAUCAAAUAAUUGAGGCAGCUAAAAUAUUUCUUGGGAGUUGAAGUAACAAGCAACAAGAAAGGGAUUUUCUUAUUUCAGAAAAAAUAUGUACUUGAUUUACUUGCAGAGAGCGAAAAAGUAAGAGUUAAACCAUGCAAUACACCAAUAAUGUCAAAUGUUACAUCCUACAAAAAAUGAUGGUGAUCCCCUUGAUGAUCCAAAAAAAUAUAGAUGACUAGUUAGAAAAUUAAACUACCUCACAGUAACUCGCCCAAAUAUAGUAUAUCUUGUCAGUGUUGUUAGUCAAUUUAUGUCGACACCUACAAUCAAACACUGAAAGGUUCUAAAACAAAUUUUAUACUAUUUAAAAUGUGUUCCGGGACUUGGCAUAUUAUUUAGCAAUUAUGAGCACACUCACAUUGAAUGGUUUGAAGAUACUGAUUGGAUUAAAUUUAAAAUUAAUACACGGUUCACUACGAACUAUUAUGUUUUUGUUGGUGGGAACCUCAUAUCAUGGAGAAGUAACAAACAAACUGUUGUAUCUCAGUCCAGUGCAAAAUCCGAGUAUAGAGUUAUGACUCAGUCCACAUGCGAAAUCUUAUGGAUACAUCACAUUUUACCUGAAGUGGAUUUAAACCCCAUAUCACCUGCAAAACCUGGUGUGAUAAUCAGGUUGUUUUUCAUAUUAUCUCAAAUUCGGUAUAUCAUAAAAGAACCGAACAUAUUGACAUUGAUUGUCACUUCAUCCAUGAGAAGAUUUAGAAAAACUUGAUAUCUACUAGCAUGUGAAGACAAGGAAACAACUAAGUAAUAUAUUCACAAAUCCUCUAAAUGAAACUCGAACUGAGUGUCUUCGUAAUAAGGUAGGCAUGAUUAAUAUUUAUGCUCCAACUUGAGGGGGAGUGUUACAAGAUUACAGAAUAUUCUUGUGUAUUAUGUAAUUACCUUUUCAUAUAUAUUAGCAUAAUUAGACAGCAAAUUAAUAGGGUAAUUUAUGUUUAUUACCAUAAAUAAACUCAUCUGUAUGUGUAUAUAUCCCUAAUCCUAUUGGAAUGAAAUAACAAGAAAUAUUCACAUAUAUUCCUAAUCUUUUACAGUUCUUUAACAAACACACAAUAAUUAAUUAGAUCAAUUAUUUCACUGUUAAUUGAAUUUCUAAUUUGCAAGAAUAACCGUGUAUCACCUUUUAGUCAUGCUUGUCUAGUUUCAUCAGUGAAAGGGUGUUGAACUAAGUGAUUAUCUUUGUCAAUACUGCAUAGAUAAACUCUAAUAAUCUUGUUUCACUACAAAUAAUUGGUACCAUUCAGUUUAUGUUCAAUAAUUUUUGGCAAAACUGGAACUAUCUUACUUACGAAAAAUUUGUUAUUACCCAUUUUAAUUUAAAAAAUAAGAUGUCACCCAAAACACCCAGAUAAACAGCAACCAGAGAUAGAUAGAAAAAUAAAACACUACAAAUAAAUCACAAAUCACCGGAAGCUCACGGCCACCAUCGGAAAAUCGUUCACUACUGCAUGCGCCGCCACCGGAAACCACACACACCCCCUUGAUCUAGCCAGGAAACACCACAGAAACACGCACCUGCUCAAAUCUGGUACGGAUUUGGUGAAAGCACACCGAAAAACCACCGGAAUUCGUCUUCGCCAACUACCCGCGUGUUCUCUCUCCAGCUUCCUGGUUUCAAGAUCACGCUUCACCACCAUCUGCUUUAGUCUUCUUGUGCACUGAAGGGUUGCGCAGCUUCACCAGAAGAUCUAAACAAAUUGCCGCCGUGCAUUCUCUUUCCAGCCUACCACGACUCCUUUAGUAAGUCGUGCCACGCACUGUCGAAACAUCUAAUCGAGCGCUUCUUCGGUGUUGGUUCAAACCUGAACCACCAGUGGUUGCCCCUACACAUAUCCUACCACUACCACUUUUCUAGUUUUAGGUGGUGGUCGGGGAUAAGAAAAAACACCAAAUCUAUUUUCCUCUUUCCCUUUUUUUAUUUUUUGUCUCGCUCUCUAACCUAUCUCUUAUACCAUGUGAACUAAUAGAGAAAAUAGGUAAAAUAUUUCUUGUGUUUUAUUUCAGGAGGUUCGGGAUAUAUAUAUACAUACAAAAGAGUCUAUAAAUAAUAACCAACAAAAAUUACUUUAUUAAUUUUUUGCUUAUAAUUAUGCUAAUUUAUAUGGAAAGAUAAUCAUGUUAAUUACACAGAAAUAAUCUAUAAUCUUGUAACACCCCUAAACAUUAAUGUCCUAAAAGUAAAAGUGUGUUUGGAUGACUUUUAAAAUGAUUCAUUAAUGUAUGGUAUUGUAUGCCAAUGACAGAGUAUAGUAAUGGCAAAGUUAUACCAUGUUUGGAAAGAUUGUGUAUUAAUGUAUGGUAAUGAUAGUUGUUUUUGUUUAGAUUGAUAGGAUGGUAUAGUUGUAUAUUUGAUCAAAAUACCUAUUUUACCCAUAUUUCAUUAUAUGUAAUAAUAAAUGAAAAAAUAAAAAGAGAAAAGAUAAAAAAAUAUAUGUACUUAAAUAAAUAUAUAUUUAAUUAUAUAUUAUAUAUGCAUAUAUAUAACCAAAUAUAUUAUAUAUGUGUAUAUAUAUAUAUUAAAUAUACAGAUGUAUGUAUAUAUAUAAUUAAAUAUAUAUAAUUAAAAAUAUAUGAAUAUAUAUAAUAAAAUAAAUAAAUUUUAUAAAAAAGAAGAUCAAGUGGCAAUAACAAAAAAGAGUAUCGGUAAAAAUGGAAUAAAAAAUAUCAAACCACACAAAACCACUGAUUUGGUGGUUUAAAAAAAUGGAGAAAAUGGUGGUUUUGAGAACCAUGUAACAACUAACGAAAAAUCAUAUCAUAUAUCUGAAAAUACAAACAAAUAAAGUAAAAUAUGAAAUUACCGUAUCAUGCAUUAAUAAAUUACCAUCCAAACACACCCUAAAGAGUAUUUUCAAAGAAUGUAACAUCAAGGCUGACCAACACUCAACAUGUACAUGCUUCUUCCUCUUCUUCCUUUCUUGUUAGUAUGCUCCAAUCAUACUAUCAUUACAGAAUUCAUGUGAAUCUAGAUAUCAAGCAAGAAAUCAUAACAAAAAAUUUUGCCUUCACUUCAUUAGGCAGGUCAGGCCUCAACACAAUUAGAAAACUUUUGUCCCCAGCUCCAAUUUUGACCCAAAAUUUGAGCAUAGUUUUUAGAUAAGAUUUUUUCUUUUGCCGACUUUUGUCUUAGGCUGGCCCAUGUGUAUUAUUUCUGAUGAUUUGCUUUUAUUUGCAUGUAUCUUUGGUACUACUGGUUUUAACACUUUAUACAAAAAAAUUAUUACAAAUCAUUUUUUAAUUAAAAUGCGAACAGAAGUUUAUACCCAAAGAAACAAUUUUCAUUACCUGGGAAAGAAUCCAUGCUGUAUUAUAGUGCUUCUGUGGAAGCUUUUGAUAGACAUUUAGAGCCUCCUGCAGUGCCAACCAAUGAUAUCAACUUUUUGCCCUUUUUCCUCUCUUCUUUGGAGAGUUGUUAGAUAAUUUAUACAUUAAAAUGAUAUCAAGACCUCUUUUCCAAAUUGGAUAUGUUUUCUGAAUCAACAAUACCUGACACCUAUACAUGCACAAAAGUCUAUAGCCCUCCCCAAUAUGCCUCAUGAGAUCCAGUGUAUCUGUGAUGCCAGAUACAAUACUUGAACUAUCUGUGAUAGAACCACUAGGUUUCAUACUCAAAUUUUUUUGGAAGGAUCUAUCAUUAGCAAAUGAAGAUGUACUUGAAAUCACAGCUGUAUAAUCUGAACUAGCAUCACCAGGGGUCUGAAGCCAUUUCCCUACAUUGCGAAAACAAUCAUGUCAAAAUGGAAUGAUGUUUGUUCUCACUCAUUCACAAUCAGAAAUAGAAAUACCACUCAUAUGAUACAAUGCGGAACCAAUGCGAAUGCUACAAAAUUGGAUAUGUUCUUCAUUUUUUCCUGAUCUUUUUCCUAAAAUAAGAGCAGACAAGUGCCUAUUACUUGAAUCUUAACUUCCCUCAAAAUCACAAGCACGCUGACCUACAGAAGGAUAGUAGGUUCAAUUAGUAUGUAACUGAUCAGAGCCUUAUAGCCUCUUAUUUUUCAUGAAAAGGAAUCAUCUUUGGCUGGCAGACAUGUGCAGAGAUCUGAGUAAGCCAGUUAUUUAUUAUUCAUUAAUGCCAAUGGUCCUCACUCUAUACAAAGCCAAUACUUACAGCUUUCCUCAAUUUCUGCCUCCCUUCAGCUUGCCCCUCGGAAAUAGCAAUACCCUCAUAGCAAACAAACAUAAAUUUCCUAUUCUUUCAACCUCUUACAUGUGGAUAUCUUGAGGAUUUUUUUGUCCCUAGGUAAAUUCCACCCCUAUCAAUAACAAGGAUAAGCUAUUCUAACUUUUUCUAUUUCUAGUAAGCAUGAAAAGAAACCACAUGAUAUAACUGAAGCAGACAAAAUAAACUAGAAAAACAUUUCAGAUUAAAGAUCUAAAACAGACAUAAGAUAGACUCCUAAUCUAGCGAGCUUUAAUGUGUUAAAGUCCAUUUUGGUGGCAAUUUCAUAUUUUGAAAGUGAUGAUCAUCUAUUCAAUGAAUCUAUUAGACUAUAUAUAAUCAAGUUGAACAGGUUUCUAUAAACUUCAAAUUGUUGGAUAUUGGUCAUCCAACUUACUACUUCGGUUGGUAUGAAGCAAGAUGGCAGGAGUUCAAUGUUGACUAGCCCAUUUCUAUUAGGAAUAAAAUAAAACAAAAAUUUAACACCAUAUAUGGUAGGCCUAUACAGGGUACAGUUCAACUUUCAAUCUAAUGCCCAUAUGCAUGAGGAACAAAUCAAAAUAUAAAUAAUUUAUUCAUUUUCUAUUGGUUUAAGCUUUUCCAAUCAUCUAACUUUACUAUUUCAUAUAUAUAUAUAUAUAUAUAUAUAUAUACACACACACACACACACAUUGAUUGACAUUUCAGCUACUUAAUUUAUCUAGAGUUUAAAAUAAAAUAAAUAAACAUAACAUGAAACUCACAUAGAUAUAACGUUACCUUCCUUAAUAUGUUCAUUUUGGCCUUUAUCAUCCGUUGAAGAAUGAAAUGAUAAGGGGUUCAAUGUACAUGUUGAGGCAGUUGCAUUCUUGCGUGCAGCAAUUCUAGCACUUCGGCGCAGUCGAAAAUCAGAAGUGAACCUUCUAGGGACCUUUAACACGACAAACAGAAACCAUUUUAGGAUUUUCUUUUUCAAAUUAACUGCAGUGGUAUAAAGUAAUAAAGAAGAGAGACUGGCACACUAUGGGGGUAGUGCAACCACAUCUAGGCUUUUCAAAUAACUUUUACUUUCCAGGAGUGAAGUCCAAGGCAGUAAUGAUCUCAUUUCCAAAAGGUUCUAUUUCUGGUUGUUUUAAAAGUUAGUUAUGCCUCUUGUUAGUGGUUACAUUUGCCACCAUGGGUAGUUCUAUGGUUCUUUCGUAACAUUUGGAAAUGAAACAGUUAAGCAGACUUCAUUUUAUAGAAAGAGAUAAGGAAAGAGAAGAUAGAAUCUAUAGGAGGAUAAGCUAUUAUCCUCCACAAAAUUUUUAAAAGGAUUACAAUAAUUUUUUUUUAUUAUCCUCCACAAAAUUUUUAAAAGGAUUACAAUAAUUUUUUUUUAUAAAAAAAAAAGAAUCUUAUAAGAGAACAAUAAAACUAAAGAAUUAGCACAAUAUAGUAACUCAAUGCAUCUUAAGUGCAGAAAGAGAAAUCCCCCUAAAGAUCCAUGCACUGUACCCAAAGCAGAAGCUAAAUGCACAUUCAUAUCCCACAAUUCAGUAAAGAAUAGAAACUCUUAUCAAAAUUCUAGAAUUUGCCUUCAACCACAGGACCCAAAAACCUAGAAAAACUGCUCCACUCCAAAGUGUGGAAUGCUCUUUGCUCCUUCCAAAAUCAAAAAGAGAAGUAGAAAUGAAAAUCUCUAAGUUUGACGGGUAAGAACCCAAAAGGAGAAGAAAAAAACACUACUCCAAACCUUCCAAGCCAUACCACAAUGUAGAAAAAAAAAUGAUUGUUAUGUUGUCAAUUACAAAAACAUAUGAAGCACAUAUCAGAGGAAAGAACAAUUUAGAAGAGGUGAUCAAAGAAAGAUCUACAGGUAUAGGCCCCUAAAGGAUCAAGAGACCAAAUUCUAGAGCAAGGGUUGGAAAAGUAACAAAAUGAAUCCAGCAAAAAUAUCAAAGACACUAAGUCAGAUGUUUCUUGGUUAUUGAGAUUUCUUAAAAAAGUAAAGAUUCCAAGAUACAUGAUUAUCAUGUAAGGACAAAAAGGAAAGAAUUGGAGAAUUAUGUUUACAAGAUAGUCCAUAAAGGCUAGAGAAAAAGAUGCAAGUAUAGUCCCCACACAGAUCUCCCCAAACAAAAACAGAGAUAAAGACUCAUCCCCUUUCCCACCCAUGGAUCUUCCCAAACAGAAAAAGAAAAUGAGAUUCAUCCCCCAACCUCACCUGCACAAGCAAGUCAAAUAGAAAAUAUGCCUUACUGAUUACUUUUUAGUGGCUUCUGUGGCCGAAGAAAGAACCUGAUUCAAUGUCGCAAAAUUUCUAGUAUAACACAAACUUACUUAUCACCCUACACCACAAAAAUAUCAAGUUCCUUUCUGGAACACCAUAACCAUUUGGCAAAGACAACAAUGUUCCAGGACACUAAAUUUCAGGACCAAACCCACCUUCUUAGGAAGGCAAUACCUCCCAUUUCCAAAGAUGGUCCCUCUAUUCUCGACAAAUUCCAUGACUUUCCCAAUCCUCUUAUUCAGAGAAACUUAGUUUCUUCCUAAACUUAAAGAUUGUUGGGUUCUCUAUGAUAAGCUACUCCUAAGCUUCAAAACAGAUUGCGAAGAACAGAAUAAUCAAACAAUAUUUUAAUUCCCAACUUGAUUUUCCAACAACCAAACCCAUAACUAAAUUCCAAAUUAGGUUUUGUAUGGCAUCCACAAACUUUCAUUGUAGGUUAUUGAAAAUUUUGGAGAAAAUAAACUUCCAAUUUUAUUUCUUGUAUGUUUUGGGUUUACACUUAGCAGAUAUAUAUAUAGAGUAAUUAUCCUUAUUUUAAGAAAAUUUUAAUUAUAUGAUAUAUCUUUAUAAUUAAAACUUUAACUAUAGCUUAAUACUUUACUUAACAUAGAGUCAUUAUCAACACUCCCCCUUAAGUUGGCGCAAAAAUAUCACACACACUGAACUUGCAAACCAAGUUCUGAAGAGAUUUAUUGCUUAAUACUUUACUUAACAUAGAAUCAUUAUCAACACUCCCCCUUAAGUUGGCGCAAAAAUAUCACACACGUCAAACUUGCAAACCAAGUUCUGAAGAGAUUUAUUGCAUAGUCCUUUAGUGAAAAUAUUAGCCACCUGUUCACCAAAAAAUACAUGAUAUAAGUAUAAAUAGCUACCAACCACCUUCUCUUUUAUGAAAUGUCGAUCAAUUUCAAUGUGUUUUGUCCUAUCAUGUUGAACUGGAUUAUGAGCAAUGUUAAGAGAUGCUUUAUUGUCACAAAAUAGAAAUAGUCUCUCCUCUUUAAACAAUUUUAAUUCCCUCAUUAGUUUUUGCAACUAUAAUAAUUCACAAAUUCUUUGGGUCAUUGCUCUAUACUCUGUCUCUGCACUAGAGUGGUACUACACUUUGUUUNNNNNNNNNNNNNNNNNNNNNNNNNNNNNNNNNNNNNNNNNNNNNNNNNNNNNNNNNNNNNNNNNNNNNNNNNNNNNNNNNNNNNNNNNNNNNNNNNNNNNNNNNNNNNNNNNNNNNNNNNNNNNNNNNNNNNNNNNNNNNNNNNNNNNNNNNNNNNNNNNNNNNNNNNNNNNNNNNNNNNNNNNNNNNNNNNNNNNNNNNNNNNNNNNNNNNNNNNNNNNNNNNNNNNNNNNNNNNNNNNNNNNNNNNNNNNNNNNNNNNNNNNNNNNNNNNNNNNNNNNNNNNNNNNNNNNNNNNNNNNNNNNNNNNNNNNNNNNNNNNNNNNNNNNUCUUUAUUCACCACAAUAUCAUCUACAUAAAUAAUGAAAAGAGUGACCUUACUCUCACGAUAUUUGAUAAACAGGGUAUGAUCAGCAUUGCUUUAUUGAUAUGCAAAAGAUAUCAUAACUCUUCAAAACUGUUCAAACCAUACUCUUGGAGACUGCUUUAAUCUGUAUAAGACCCUUUUUAAUUUGCGAACUUUUCUUUGCGUCCUCUUAUCUUCAAACCCAAUUGAAAUUUUCAUGUAUACCUCUUCCUCUAAGUUUCCAUGGAAGAAUGCAUUUUUUACAUCAGAGUGUUGUAAAUCUCAAUCAAGAUUAGCUACGCAAGACAAAAGUAUUCUAAUUGUAUUCAUUUUCGCAACAAGUGUAAAGGUUUCCUGAUAGUCAAUUCCAUAAGUUUGAGUAAAUCCUUUAGCCACCAAUCUAACUUUGUACUUUUCAAUUGAUCCGUCUACUUUAUGUUUUACGGUGAACACUCAUUUGCAACCAACUAUCUUCUUUUUCUACGGAGGUGAAACAAGUUUUCAUGUUUCAUUUUUUGUCAAUGCUCUUAUUUCUUCAAUUAUGACUUCCUUCUACUUGGGAUCUCUUAUAGUCUUUUUCCAAUCUUGUGGAAUAAAUACAAAGGAAACAGAAAAAACAAAAUCUCUAUAGGACGGAGAUAGAGAGUCAUAGGAAAUAAAGUUAGAUAUAUGAUGCUUAAUACAAGUUCUCAUUCCCUUUCUAAUACCAAUAGGUUUAUCUGAUAAAUCAUAAGAGAAAAAUAACUUAUUAGUAUCUUCUGUAAGUAGAGAAGAUUCUUGAUUUGAGAUAGACUGCAUAAUAGUUUUUCUGACUUAUCUCUACUUGAAUACCUUUUCAAGUCUGAUUUAUUCAGACGUCCAACAUUAUCUUCUUGAUUAAGACCUUCUACAAUAGAACUUUUCUCCUGAAUAUGACUCUCAAUGGUUACCCAAUUAGAUAUCACUUCUUCCUUCCCACUCUCCCUCCGAAAAGGUGUUGGGUUUGAGUUGAAGUAAGACUCAGUUUCCCUAAAUGUAGCAUCCAUAAUUAUAAAAUAUUUUCUAAACGGUGGAUGAUAACAUUUGUAACUUUUUUGAGUAGAAGAAUAUUCAACAAAUACAUAUUUAAGAGCCUUAGAUUCUAACUUAUCCACAUUUCUAGCAUGAACAAAGCACACACAUCCCAGCAGCCACACCAGACACCCCGUGUGCGGAAAAGUGGACUGGCACAGAGGGGCUCCGUCCGGUCAAUGCAGCACGACUCAGCGCGCGACCGAAGCAACAUGGUGUGCAGAAGGAUCAGUCGACUCGUCUCCAGACGCGGAUCGGCUGGAUAGGAGCGACGGAGGGCGCAGAACGACAGAUCUUUCAAAUGCACACAACCACAUGAAAAAAGGUCUGAUAAUCGCGGUCAAGCCGGAUUUGUGCGGAAAGGAACCAAAUUUGUCUCAAUCGGGAUUUUCUGGCAGUAUUCCACCAUUUUUCGGGCCGAAUGGGUUGAAGCCGGUGGCGCGUGUGGCUCACGCGCCUCUGCUGCGGCAGCGCAUGUGGCUGACGCACGCGGAAACUGUGGCUGUUCUUGCUGGGGUUGAGCGGCGACUCCAUCUGGGUGAUGCUGGGUUUGGUUUCUUUUGGUAGUUGAGUACCAAUUUGGUCUAUUUUGCUUAUUUUAAGGUUUUUACAAAAUUUUAAAAUAGUUUUACUUUAACUCUGAUACCAUGAAGAUUUUGAAGAAAAUAAAUUUCUAAUUUUAUUUCUUAUAUACUUUGUGUUCACAUUUAAGAGAUAUAUAUAAAGUAAUUUUUCUUAUUAUAAGAAAAAUUACUUUAUAUAUAUCUAAGAAAAUUUUAAUUAUAUGAUAUAUUUUUACUAUUAGAACUCUAAUUAUAGCCUAAUACUAUACUUAACAUACAAUCCUUAUCAACAGUUAUCUACUAUGAACUAUAAGUUACCACUUAGGACCACCUAUCUUCCCUUAAAAUUAUUGAGCAUUGCUAAGAAUAUAAGCACUUAACAAAUGUUAACAUACUAAAUGAAACAAGAAAGGGAGCACAAAAGAAGGCGGUAAGAAUCUACAUCACGAUUGAUACACAACUUAAAUCAUUUAAACUUAAAGAAACAAGAAACAGAAAAUAUGAGAAGGUAGUAUCUGUCUAUUUAAAAAUGCAUACACAACCUUCAUUGAUUUAUCUUCAAUAAAUUUUCUUUGAGAAACAUCAAUUAUAGACUUUGCUGAGCCUUCACCUCUUUGAAUGUUUGAUUUGAGUUGCACAUUUCUACAGGAAGGCAGAGGAGCAAUACCUGACAGCUGUGGAAUAUAGAAGUAUCACUCUCCAUCAGGAAAUGAUAACAAUGGCAAAAUCAUGGAGAUUCUUUUCCCAAUAAUGAUAAAUUUAGCCAACAACACUAUGCAAACAUGGGAGUAAAUUGC
RNAcentral lists this long non-coding RNA (46848 nucleotides) under Carica papaya (papaya). Its description in RNAcentral is "long non-coding RNA (CPAP_LNC006519)". The record is from RNAcentral. Lineage: Eukaryota; Viridiplantae; Streptophyta; Magnoliopsida; Brassicales; Caricaceae.